GAAAAGGGUAAUAGCAGUUAUAAAAUCUGUUUUAAAGCAAAUUCAAAUCAAGUUUCAAAUUUUAGGAGUACUUAAUUCAAUAAAAUAAGGAAUAAAUAAAGCUUUCAUUGAAACAAAACUAAGUAAAUUCAUUUAAAGCAAAAAAGGAUGGGAGCAUUACUAUGGGUUCUUAUGUUUACCCGCAGUCAGACAUCUGGGGACCUUGUUAUUUGGAGACAAGACUUGAUUGUGCCAUGUUUUCCGCAGCUAGACAUCUGUGGAUAAGAGAACCCUAAGCCUAUUUAGAAUAAAUUCUGUAAUCCAAGACUCUUCAGUUCUUUCAUUUGUGGCUAAUUAGUUAUAAAAUUUGUGAAUUUCAUGCCCCAUGCCCCUUGCAAAAUGCCAGUUGUUGAACUGAAAUAAUAAAAAAUGGAAAACAGACUUAAUGCCGAUAGCAUUUCUUAAGAAAAACUUGGGAUGUUUAUAAUUUUCUUAGAGCAUUUGCUGAACUUUCUGUGAUCGCAGUCGAGACGCGUGACCUCUACUUCCCUCAUUGCUCAGAAGUGGUUGAUCGCUUUUUGGAUUUGAACAAUCCUGCCACCCCAGAAAUGGACGACGAGAAACUUAAAGCAGACAUGCAGGAGGCAUUCUGCAAGGACGUGGCUUAUCACCGUCGUUUAGGGCUGCCAUCAUCCCGGCCGGCAUUUUACCAGUACACGGCUAGGAGCAAUCAGUCGGCAUUUUACAAGUACAUGGCUGAGAGCAAUCAGUCGGCCAAGUACGUGGCUGAGAGCAAUGGCUCAGGAAUGUCGACAUCCUCGGCAGCGCGCAAUCUAAAAGUUAUAUUUGACACCUGGAAAACUAAAGGAGUUGAGUGAGAUCGAUUGGUAUUUGUAGUUUCUUUUUUUUUUUCCUCAAGUGAUCUGGCGGCAUAAUUAAAAGUUAUAUUUGUUUGUCUUCAAAGUUAUUGUAUUGUCUCAAGUCCGGUAAGAUGCGCGAACUUAUAGCAUGGAUCCAUAUGAUCUGGACUAAACUAGUUUCUAAUAAAUAAGUAUAUUUUACAGUACUGAUUUUCCUACAGAAAUUGGUUAAGGUGACAUUAAUGUUCUUUAUGAUAGACGGAUAUACAGAUUUUUCGUCGAAAUUGAAAUUAGAAAUGGAUGGAUAUGCAGAAUUUUUUAAUAGAAUUUUUAUACAAAAAUUUGUAGCUCAUUACCCUCUAAAAGGAAAAAAAUAAAUUUUUGAUUUUAAAUAUUAAAUAUUAAAUUUAUAAUAUAAUAACUUUGUGAGUUAAGGUGCACAAUACCCAUAUAUUAAUAAUUAAGAAAAGAAAAAAAUUAAAAUUUGUAAAUUACCAAUUUUUUCUUGAAAUUUGAUAUUCUAUAUUAACGUAGGUGUUGCAUGGACUGGGUUAGUACAAUUGAAAGAAACUAACUAAAGUAAAACAAAAUAUCAUUAAAAUAUGGCAAGCUUCUCAUAUUUUUUAAGUGAAAAAGAGAAGAAAACUAAAAUUAAUUAUUUUUAUACCCAAAUUCUAGUGCUUGAAGGCCGCUGGAAUUGACCAUUGUAGUUUUGUCAUCCUCAUUAUUCACCGGCCAUCGUGGCCUUCCUCCAUUAAAAAAAUAAAUGACCAUUUUUUUGGACCACAACAUAUUAAAAAUAGUAUUGAUUAAUACUAAUAAAUCUCUUUUUUGAUUAUUUUGCAGUGUGAUAGUCGAGUGAGGGCAGUGCCCAUCGUAGCACUUGAACAUGUGGUAAAUUUAUGCCAGUCUUUGUAAAAUAAUUUUUAAAUUAUGUAUUAACCAGAUAGCUCAAUGAAAACUAUCGCUCACUAAAUUAUUACUUUAUUUUGUAUAUAUUUAUGAUAAUUGUUGAAAAGAAAAAUGUAAAGUGAGAUUAACGAACGUUUAUGAAUGUGGAAAUUAACACAACCAAGAUUUAUGAUGAAAUAAUUUUAAGUCAAAUGAGCAUAAAUUUGUAUAAAUAUUUUUUGAAUUGUCAUAUAUAUACAAGUUUGUCACUAAUAGUAAACUUAAUUAUGAGUAUUUUAAUAAUUCAAAAUUUUAUUUAACCAUCGGUGUAUAUAGUGUUUUUCAUAAUACAAAAUUAUAAAAAGUCUCAUCCUGAAUAGUAUAAUGCCAAACCUUUUCAAAAAUUUAUUCUAUUAUAGUCGUCUUAGUCAGUUAUAUUUAUUUCUAAAUUGAAGAUAAAAACAGUACUUCAUAUAUCAUCCAUUACUUCAUACAUUACUUAAAGUUUUUUUUUUUUUCAAUCAAAUUAUGAGCAAGUGAAAGGAUGCAAUAAAUUACGACUAAAAUUGUAAAAUUUACCAAUGGCUAUAUACAAAGUCUGAUUCUCAUGAGCUUAAAAGAUGGGCUUUGAAUGAUGUAUGGUUCUCAAAACUCUACUUUUAUUAAUAUGAUUGCCCUGCUUCCUUCAUGACGGGUAAUUUUUAGUUUCGUCCCCUGAAGUUUGGUUUAUCUCCAUUUUAAUAGGAAAUAUUAGCGUAUCUCCCACUUUUCUCCCCUGCCGUUUGUAUACCGUUUCAUAUUGUUAAUGGACGAAGCUACAAGUCUUCUCUUUCAUCAAAUCGAUCCAUAACAAAUACGAGUCUGCUUCACCUAACCAAAACACACACAUACUCCAUCUCUAAAUGCUUUGAAGAUAAACAAAUCAACCGUAAUCCUGCAACUUUAGCUCAGAGAAUCGGAUAAGAAAAGAACAGGUGAUGAAUCAAGGGUAAUGGCGCCGAGUGAGUGUCGCCUGCGGUCGGCGUUAGAGGCGACUGUCACUCAAUCGCGUACAAGGUUAGUCUUUGAAAAAACUCUUUGCAUGUUAGAAAUCAGUGAUUAGGCAUUAUUUUGUUAUUUAAAAAUGAAAAUGGGUUUAUUAGUUUGUCGAAGAAUCUGCUCUGUUGCCGGUGUUGUUUGUUGAUUAAAAUGAAAAUGGGUUUGUUGAUGUGUUGAAGAAGUUGCUCUCCUGCUGGUGUUUUUUUAUUAAUUAAAAUGAAAAUGGGUUUGUUAAUUUAUUGAAGCAGCUGCUGGCAUUGUUAUUGUGACUUUAUUUAUCCAAUUGAUGAGCUUAUGAGCUAAUAGUAUUGUUUGAUCAAGCUUGUGUUCUUAAUAGUGGAGUUGAUAUUCUUAAAAUGAAUUUAUGAUUAUGAGAAUAUGAAAAUUGAAUGGCAUCGUAGAGAUCUGGAUUAAUCACCAUCGUAUAUGUUUCUAAAUAAAGGAAUAAGCAGCAACCGAUUUGAAAGUUAAGACUUUAGGGAUAUGUAUGUGCAACUGAAUGAAUCAUCAGUUGCUAUCUUGUAAGUCAGUGCUAGCAUAUUACCUAAUGGCAAGUGAAGCUAUUUUAUGUGUAUUGCUGCCUAUCAAAAUGUUUAUGUUUGAAGUUUUCUCCUUUUGGGAAAUUGAAUGCUUCUGUGAGUUCUCUGGUAAGGGCUAUACAACUAUCUCUAAUAGAUUCCUUCAUGUGCAUUAAUUAGCUUAGUAGUUUAUUGACCUAUAUCCAAUGUCUAUUCUCCUUUUCUGUAGCCGUCUAGUUUUAUGAGUGUGUGAAGUGAACUUUUGUUUUAUGUUUCAGGACUUGGGAUUAGAGUGUAUAACAUUCAAUAUCUUUAUAUCAAAGAACUGAUAUAUGUCAAUGUAGUGCGAUCUGGUCUUUAUUAGCUUCUUGAUUUGCCAGGAUGUUUGACAACCAUCUUUGACCAUGAUUGCCAACAUAUAAGCUGCUACAUAGUGUCUCAGGAAUCACAGCAAAUUAUUAUCAUAAUAUGGUGAUUUUGAAUCCAAAACUUGGUAGUGUCAAGAAAAUAGACCCAUGUUUAUUUAUCUUCAUGUUUUGUAUGCGCCUGCAAUAGACUAUUAUAAGUUACUUUUAGUUUUAUCAAGUUUUUUUUUCCUUAAAUUUCAUCGAGUCUUGGAGUCUUUGUAAUAUAGAGUCUAAGUGAAGAAUACUUGGGUGAAAUCUUGUAUUCUCUCUUCCAGUAAUAUAAUCAUCCUUUGUGUUUUUAUCUUUUUAUUUUGGUAUCAGAGCAUACUUUAUUAUAGAAGGACUUAGACUCUAUAUUACAAAGACUCAGCGGUUUCUUUUAACUGAGUUAAUAGUGUUGUUAGGUUAAACUAAGUUUGGCUUCAUAAGAUUCAUAGUAGAGUGUAGAACUGGGUACAAUUUUGGGUUAGACAAGUCAAAAGUCUUCUCAAGUAAUUGUUCUGCUUACUGAUUUGGUAAUUGCAACAUUGCUAAAUAGUUCAAUUUGUCCUUUUAUUUUGUUGAAUUUAUUGUAUGUCAUAUUACUUCAUUUAAUUAUUUUCUCAGAUCUUGUAGGUGAAAAUUUCAGCUUCAAAGGCCAAGCUAAUCAUCCAGCAAUUCAGUGAAACCAAGACACAGUGGCUCAUAAAUUGUUGUUGGUGAUCCAGCCAUUCGGGUGCUUGCCAGUCCUAGACGAGAAAACUUUCAACGCGGCGCAUAAAUUGUUGUUGAUCUACUUUAUAUAUUUUGACCUUUGUGAUUUGUGAAUACAUGGUUUGAUUCCAGUGUUUACAACUUUGAUACUGUGUAUAACUUAAAAAGCAAAUGAAACAAAUAGGAAAUGUGUUUUUAUUUUUUUUAUUCUAUCUAUCUAUUUAUAUUUUGUUUGGAAAUGUAACAAUUUAUAGCUGGCAAAGUACUAGAGUUGUAUACUUGUAUUUAAUUCAUUAUUAUUAUUUUUUUAAUGAUGACUCAGUAAUGUCGUUGUCCAUGGUGUUUUGUCAUUUUGAGAGUACUUAACCCUUGGACGCUAAGGCACAUUACAGUAGCCGAAAUUUUGAGCUUUCAGUUCUUGAUUUUAGCGUGAGGGGUAUCUUUGUCGUUUCAGUUGUCAACAAACAAUUUGUUGGGGGGGGGGGGGGGGGGGUGGAGAUACGCUGAUACUUUCUAUCAUACUGGAGAUACACCUAACCUCAGGGAAGGAAACUGAAAUUUCACCUUUACGACGGGUGGACUUGGGUCAAACUUUCAUAUUCUAAUCAAGUAGGUCGAUCACGAUUCAAGCUUCAGUCAUAAGCCUUUCGUUAUGAUUGAUAUUAUUCUUUCUUGAUAGUAUCAUGGAAAAUGCAAACGAAAAGUCAGCAUCUUUGAGUUUUGUCUCAUCAUAUCCGACUUGUUGGUCUACUAAUCAAUCCACAGACCCUUGUGAUCUUGGUAAUUUGAACUUAAGGAGGCAAAGCAGCAAUCCUAAAGAGCCAUUGCUUGAUGCUGAGAUCGUUGUUGACGGCAAAUCAGUGGCAGUUAAUCGCAGCAUAUUGUCUGCACGCAGUCGUUUUUUUCAUUGGCUUUUUCAUUUGAGCAGUGAUGGUUCUGUGAGUGAGGGGAAACCCAAGUAUCUUAUGACUGAUUUGGUGCCUUAUAGGAAGGUUGGAUAUGAAGCUUUUAAUGAUAUCUUGCAUUAUCUUUACACUGGAAUGCGUAAGGCACCUCCUUCAGAAGUGUUCACGUGUGUUGAUGAUACUUGUGUUCAUCUUGUUUGCCCUCCUGCUAUUAAUUAUGUUAUUGAGUCGAUAUAUGCUUCUGCUGCUUUUAAGAUGACAGAGGUCGUUUCGGUUUAUGAGGUAGUUGCGCUUCCCCGCUACUUGUAUUGCUUAAAUUUAUGCUUAUUGGUAUAGUUUUAACAUAUGUGGGAUUGAAAUCAAUUUCAGUUGUGACUUGCAAAGAGCCAAAGAAUCUGUUGUUUUAUUUUGAAAGAGACAAAGAUGAUGAUGAUGGGCAGUGAACUCUAGGAAUCAAUGCUUGCUGACACUGACACCCAAGAAUGAUAAAAACUAACCAAAAAGGUAUAUAGAUUACAUGAGUCUGAAUUUGAUAAGUGCACCUAUCCUAUCACAAAAAGCUUUUGCGUUGAGUUUCGAACCAAGGAAAAUUGUCACUUCUGUCUGUAGGCUUCAUAGAUUUGUUCAAGCCUUCAAGGAUGUCUAGCUGUUACUUAGGGUCCAACAAUGGUGCUACAUUUCUAGUGGAUGAUAUGUUAUCUACAUCUGUAUAUUGGAACUUUGACAAACUUCGCCUUUCCUUUGUUGAUACACUCGUCUCACUUUUAUUAAAUUGCCUGAUUAUGAAAUGGUCUAUUGGAGACUAGCAAUGGAAGGUUUCUUCUGGAGAAAAUUUUACUUGCCACCAAUUUUCAUUUUGGUCGGUGUCAGUUCAUGCGCUGGCUUGAUUGUUCUGUUAUUUAGGUUGUUUUAUCCGUAUUUUCUCACUAUCUUGAUAGUUAGUUCUCUAAUGCUUUCAAGCUCAACAGCGAAUGCGAGAGAUUCUCUUUGUCCUGUCCAGGUUAUAACCUAGCAAAUCAUUAAUGCUGUAGAAUAACAUCUUGCGUAGAUGAGCUCGUGUCUCUGAACAUUGGUCCAUCGGCAUUUAGGUUCGAUAAGCAUGGCAUUGAUUUUCCCCCUCAUUGUUAUUUUCCUGCACAGAUUAUCCCCUUUAAGUAUUUGAAUUUUGAAUACAUUAUUCUGAAUCAAAACUCUAUACGUCCGUGUAGCAUUUUAUAUAUGCUUUAUGAUAUUUACCAAUAAUUACCCACUGCGAGGUAUUUGAAUUUUGAAUAUAUUAUAUAUUAUUAACUUUUGCACCCUUCUAUACAUGUAUUAGUUAAUUAUAAAGAUAUUUAUAUACUUUAUUAACUUUUGCACCCUUCUAUUUACUGAUUAUCUUUAUAAUUAACUAAUACAUGUAUCCAGGUUUCUCCUUCCAAUUGGAAUUCCUUUAUAGUGCUCUGUUAGGUGUAAUCAGAUGUAUCAAAAGAGAAAGGGUAAUUGUUAGUACAUUGAUAUCUCAACAAAAUGGUAGAACCUUUCUUUAUACCACUAAGACAUUUGUCGCAGAUAUGCCUACAUAAUCAGUGUCCUUCAAAACUUUCAAGGAGUUAGCAAUGCCUAACCCCUGAAACACUAAAUCUCACGGGAUCAACUCUUUACAUCUAGACCGAAGGUGUGACACCCAGACCCAAUUAGGGCUUAGAACACAUAUUGAAUCUGAGUGAAACUAAAUGCCUGUAAAUCCAAAUCUCCAAAAUAUCAAAAAGUCAUCUACUUUCUCUUUUCAUGUAUUUCACAAAAUUUUGAAAAAUUCAUUCUCAAUCAUAAACUAUGCACAGCUAAUUAUUCAGCAUAUCAGUAUAGAGCAAUACUUCCUCAUAAGCAAAUAAAUCUUACAAUCCUUCUUACAUGAUUUUAAAAAAAAUACUAAUAGAAGUCUUCUAGAUACAAACAUAAACAGAAUUCAACUGUUUAAAACUAUGCCAAAACACAAGCUUCAAUCAGUAAUACAUACGACUAAUUAUUAAAAACAUCUAGGCAGAAACCUUACGAAAGCUCAAUCUUUCUGAAGCAUUCUUCAAAUUAAAAAUUGCUACCAUCUGUGAAAAAUAAUUGACAAGGAGUCAGCUGUGAACUCAAUCAGUAGAAACAUUCGUAAUGAACAAAAAGAAUUCUUUGUGCAAUAUUUUCAGAAAAUUCAUUUAACCUUUCAAAUGAAACAGAGUAAUUUUUCUAACGCAGUCAGGAUUUAUAUAAAACACAAACGUUUCAGACAAAAGCUGUGCGGAAUUUAAAUUUUGCUUCUUUAAACAGAAAGUUAUAUAUUAGUUUGAUUUUAAAGGGAGGUUAUUGGGAAGUUAAAAUUGGCAGUUGUGGGAAAAGGGUAAUAGCAGUUAUAAAAUCUGUUUUAAAGCAAAUUCAAAUCAAGUUUCAAAUUUUAGGAGUACUUAAUUCAAUAAAAUAAGGAAUAAAUAAAGCUUUCAUUGAAACAAAACUAAGUAAAUUCAUUUAAAGCAAAAAAGGAUGGGAGCAUUACUAUGGGUUCUUAUGUUUACCCGCAGUCAGACAUCUGGGGACCUUGUUAUUUGGAGACAAGACUUGAUUGUGCCAUGUUUUCCGCAGCUAGACAUCUGUGGAUAAGAGAACCCUAAGCCUAUUUAGAAUAAAUUCUGUAAUCCAAGACUCUUCAGUUCUUUCAUUUGUGGCUAAUUAGUUAUAAAAUUUGUGAAUUUCAUGCCCCAUGCCCCUUGCAAAAUGCCAGUUGUUGAACUGAAAUAAUAAAAAAUGGAAAACAGACUUAAUGCCGAUAGCAUUUCUUAAGAAAAACUUGGGAUGUUUAUAAUUUUCUUAGAGCAUUUGCUGAACUUUCUGUGAUCGCAGUCGAGACGCGUGACCUCUACUUCCCUCAUUGCUCAGAAGUGGUUGAUCGCUUUUUGGAUUUGAACAAUCCUGCCACCCCAGAAAUGGACGACGAGAAACUUAAAGCAGACAUGCAGGAGGCAUUCUGCAAGGACGUGGCUUAUCACCGUCGUUUAGGGCUGCCAUCAUCCCGGCCGGCAUUUUACCAGUACACGGCUAGGAGCAAUCAGUCGGCAUUUUACAAGUACAUGGCUGAGAGCAAUCAGUCGGCCAAGUACGUGGCUGAGAGCAAUGGUUCAGGAAUGUCGACAUCCUCGGCAGCGCGCAAUCUAAAAGUUAUAUUUGACACCUGGAAAACUAAAGGAGUUGAGUGAGAUCGAUUGGUAUUUGUAGUUUCUUUUUUUUUUUCCUCAAGUGAUCUGGCAUAAUUAAAAGUUAUAUUUGUUUGUCUUAAAAGUUAUUGUAAUAUCUAAAGUCCGGUAAGAUGCGCGAACGUAUAGCAUGGAUCACAAACUCAUUUCAUAGAAUAUUUUUUUGUAUAAUUAUAUAAUUUAUAGGCUUUGCUUAAAAAAUUAAAAAAGAAUUGCAUUACAAUUGGUAUGAGGCAUGCAUGUGUGUGUCAUAUCAGUUGCUGAACAAACUUUGCCUUUUAGUUUUGUAGGCACUACCAUCUCAAAUUCUCUGUUAUCAUGAAUGAGUAUUUUUUUCUUUUUUCUUUUUUAAGAAAUCAUAAAUGAGAUUAAGAUAAUUUUUUUUAAAAAAAGAAAAAAAUGGAGAUUUCUUUUAUUUUUCCUUAAAAACUGAAGAAAAAUUUAGAUGGUAGUGUGAGACGGAGAAUUAAAGCAAUUUUACUAACAAAUGUAAUGUGUUUGGUGUCGCAAUACAAAUUAAUAAAUUAUAAUUUAUGAGACUAGUUUGCAUAAUCUUAUAUAUAAAAUUAUAUCCUCUGAAUAAAAAUCUUCUCACCUCUUUUGACUUUUCAUUUAAAUAUCCUCUCUAGAAUCUCUCUGACCAUAAACACAUUUUUACAAAACAAAACAGAAGAAAUUAUAUAUAAUUCUCACAAGGACUAUUUCAUUUGCACAUAGUACGCAAUUGGUCACUAAAGUUAUUUGAGGAGAAAAUUUACAUGAGAUGGGUACAUCCUAUUAUCAGUAUUUUAAUUUAAGUUUGAACAUACUAGAAUGGUCUCUCAUAAAUUUUUCUCCAAUUUGAGAGAUGGUGGGGAAGUGGGGUUAAAGUGCAUCUGCAUAGAAUUAAUUAUAAUUAAAUUUAUUUUUUAAAACUAUUUUAACUAGAAGUAGUAGUAAUUCUUUUUAUUAUUGUUAUUCCAAUUAUAUCAAAAUCUAGUGACUCGUGAUCAAAUUAAGUAGUUCAUUAAACUUUUUUAGGUGACGUAUGGUAUGGAGUUUUUAUAAAUCUAUAAAUAUAGUAAAAUAUUUAAUUUUGCUUGUCGUAAACUUUUAAUUUGCAUGGGUUAAAAAAGAAAAACUAGCGAAAAGUUUGUGCGCAGAGAGCCAGAGAAAACUAGCGGCCGCUGUUAAGCAAAAAGUUAAAAGUUGAACCCCAUGCAUGAAAGCUCCGAAAAUAUCGGACGUGGCGAAAACCCUAUUUUCGGAGGGACUUUUUCUCCGCCGUUUAGGGAGGCUAGAACAACCAAAAAGGCACGGUUUCGUGAUGAGGAAGUAGCUGGUGACAAUCCUAUGCAGGUUUCGUACAAAGAAACCCUGGUGAACUCUUCGCAAGCAAUGGAGAAUGGUUUUGGAGGCGGAGCAGUGGACUGGGAUUUUGAGGAAGGAGAUGUGAUCGAGAACAACGAUGGACCUAUGCCAUCAAUAGCUUUCUCGGCUAGGGUCCAUGAGAAGUUGAGUGAACCGCGGAAGAAUUCUGUCGUUGUGAAACUACUUGGCCGAACAAUAGGCUAUAGGGCUCUCUGCACAAGAUUGAAUGUAAUGUGGAAAACAACCAUGAGUUUCUCAGUGAUUGAUUUAGAGAAUAACUAUUUUUUGAUUCGCUUCCGCUCAAGUAGUGAUGUUGUUGAUGCUCUAACUAAUGGGCCUUGGCUUAUUAUGGGGCAUUACUUAACGGUACAACCAUGGACACCCAAUUUCGAUUUCACCAAAACGGCUAUUGAUCAAGUCACUGUAUGGAUUCGUUUACCUGGUCUUGCUGUCCACCUCUAUGAUCGGAAAAUGCUGCAAAAGCUUGGACAAUUGGUGGGUACGGUGAUCAAAAUUGAUGUGAAUACAGCCUCCUCUACACGGGGACGUUUUGCCCGAGUUGCAGUCACAAUCUCUUUGGCUAACCCGCUAGUGUCUCAGUUUGAACUGGAUGGGAAGGUCCAGAAGGUGGAAUAUGAGGGAUUGCCAGUGAUCUGCUUUAUGUGUGGAAGGUAUGGACAUAACAGAAAUACUUGCAAGGAAGCUGGUGCAGCGAAUGAAGCUGAAAAUGCCCCCCAGCCUACUAUGCAACGUCAGGAGGUCCCUGCUCAUCAGGAGUUUGGCUGUCAUGAUGCUAGUAUUGUAGAACCCUUUGGCACUUGGAUGAUCGUCACGAGAAAAGGCAGGAGAACUAACAAUGGCAUGGAGAAUAACAGUGAGCUAAACCGGAACCGCGAGCCUUUUGGGGCUAGCACUUCAAGAUUCCACAUUCUAGCUCAAGUCUCAGAUGAGCGUGAGGAUCAUGCCCCUGCAGUGGUUAAGGAUAUCCCCUCCACUUCACGUCAACCACUCAUGCCUACCCUGAACCCUACUUUUACCUCCCAUCAAGAGACCAUAACAAGGACCUCGGCAAGGCGUAAACCUCAUAAUAAGGCUGUGGUUACAAAACCUCGAGGUAGGAAACCGGCCACCUCAAUGAAUCCAUUCCAAAACCCCUUUCAGUCGAGUGUUUUUACCACAAGCAAGAAGGAUGUAAACUCCACACCCCAUGCAAACCUUAAUCCCACAUCAUUUGUAACUUCACAGUUUGAACCUGGUCAUCAACAAGUUUCCCACCUUGCUAACACCUUAGACCCAACGAAGCAUACUGUGGUCUUUUGCUCACCACAAACCUUUCCAUCGGGGAAUGUAAGGGAUGCGGCCAUUGAGCAUAGAGCUCGGCAGGGACCAGACCCUCAACAUACAUCUACUUGCCAGACGCUCGAAACACAUCAUGUGUUAAUGAAGUUGAGAAUGCCCAUACACACCCUGAGCAGCCUACGAGUGGAGUUGAUGAGGCUGGAAUGUUGGAUGAAGAAGAAUCAAUGGUUCAAGAAACGCUUAUGGCGUUGAUGGCUGAUAUUAAUGAUCAGCAAAACUAAGGUUUCUAUCAUCCCCUACUGAAAUUUUUUAUGUCAAUUAGCAUCAUGUAUUGGAAUGUUCAAGGGGUGGCCUUGACUACUUUUCGCCACUCUUUUAAGACUAUUGUUAAAAAUUAUAAUCCUUCUCUGGUGGUAUUGAUGGAACCUCGUAUUAGUGGGGGUAAAGCAGAUGAGUUUAUUAAGAAAAGUGGUUUUGACAACUCUCAUCGUGUGGAAGUAGUAGGCUUCUCUGGAGGAAUUUGGCUGCUCUGGCAGAAUGUUAUAGAGGUGGAGGUUCUUUUAAAUCACAAGCAAUUUAUUCAUUUCAGGAUUAGCAUGAAUAAGGUAUUUAUGUCUUGGGCAACGGCUGUCUAUGCUAGCCCAAAUCCAAUGUUGCGGAGAUAGUUAUGGAAUCAUAUGGAUAGCCUUGCUCUCUCUAUCCAAGGACCUUGGCUGAUUGGUGGGGAUUUCAAUUCUAUAUUGUACGCUUCUGAAAAACAGGGGGAGCUGCAGGGCAGUCAGGAGUGUGUGGCUUGUUUCGGCAGUGGUUUGAUGGACACCAAAUCUUUGAUUUAAAGUUCAAAGGCCCUCAAUCUACAUGGUCUCGUGGUUUUCUUUUCAAAAGGCUAGAUAAAGCCUUAUGCAAUAAUGAGUGGUUAUUAAAGUUUGCAGAUAACUCAGUUCUCCAUCUUCCGAAAGUUGCUUCGGAUCACAGACCGGUGCUAGUUCAGUUUGAGAGAGUUGUACGGAGACAUCAUGGUAAUAGGCCCUUUCGGUUUUUGGCUUAUUGGUUUACUAAUGAUCAUUUUAAUAAUUUUGUUAAGCAGACGUGGGAUCCUCAAGCUUCUUAUAGUGAUGCGGCAUCUAUUUUUGUCAAGGAGGUUCAAGUUUGGAAUCGGGAGGUUUUUGGGAAUAUUUUUCAGCGAAAACGUAUCUUAAUGGCUCGGAUUAAUGAGAUUCAAGCAACCUUGGAGAAAUCUAGUUCGAGGGGGUUAAUGCGCUUAGAGGCUUAGUUGCGGAAAGAUUUGGAGAUGGUGAUGGGGCAAGAGGACAUUCUUUGGUGGCAAAAAUCGAGAAAGGAUUGGAUUAUGCAUGGGGACAGAAAUAUUAGGUUCUUUCACCAAAAAACUAUUGUUCGCAGGCGGCGGAAUAGAAUUGAAGCCAUCCAGGACAAUUCGGGCAAUUGGUUGUACAAUGAGGAAGAAAUCCGAAAUCAUACAGUUGGGUAUUUUUCUGCCUUAUUCACAAGUGAGGCUGCAAGUCCCCAAGUUUAUCUUGUUCCGAAUUAUUUCCCAACUCUGGAUGCUUAUGAUAUCGAUUGUGUUGCCAACCCAGUUUUGGAAGCAGAAAUCAAGAAUGUCGUCUUUAGUAUGAAACCGCUAAAGGCUCCAGGUACGGAUGGGUUGCAUGCUAUUUUCUACCAGUCUCAAUGGGCAGUGGUUUGGCCUUCCUUCUGUAAGUUUAUUGCUGACAUUUUUAACUCUGGUAAGAUUCCUAAAGAGGUCAAUACUACUCUUCUGGUAUUGAUCCCUAAAGUGGAGCAUCCUACUAGCUUAAAAAUGUUCAGACCUAUCAGCUUAUGUAUAGUCGCCUAUAAAACAGUGACUAAAAUAAUUACUAACCGUUUGCAAGUCGUGCUGCCUAAAAUUAUAGGCCCUCAUCAGACGAGUUUUGUUCCUGGCCGCCACAUCAUAGAUAAUAUUGUUGUUGCCCAGGAAGUGGUCCAUACUAUGCAACGAAAAACAGGUAAGCGAGGGCUUAUGGCUAUCAAGGUAGAUCUCGAGAAGGCGUAUGAUCGGCUCAAUUGGUCUUUUAUCUUCGAUACUCUUCAGCUGACUGGCAUUCCGAUUCAAUUAUCUAGGCUCAUCAUGGAAUGUGUUACUACAGCUAAAAUGAGCAUUUUGUGGAAUGGAUAGGCUAUGGAGGAAUUUUCUCCGGGGAGAGGAAUCCGACAGGGAGAUCCCCUGUCUCCCUAUAUUUUUGUGCUUUGCAUUGAGCGGUUGAGCCAUGGUAUUUCCCAAGCUGUGAGGGAAGGCAGUUGGAAACCAAUCCGGUUGGCCAAACGGGGAACUCCCCUAACACAUUUAUUUGUUGCUGAUGACUUACUUUUAUUUGCAGAAGCCUCAAUUAAUCAAGCUUAUAUCAUUGACGCAGUUCUGGAGAAUUAUUGUCGGAGCUCUGAAACAAAGGUUAAUAAAUCAAAAACCAAAGUCUUUUUCUCUAAAAAUGUGUUAUCUAGAGAUGCCCAGCUUAUUAGUGACGCCUUGGGAUUUUCGGCUACUAAGGAUUUAGACUGUUACCUUGGCAUGCCUCUAAUCCAUUCGCGGGUGAAUAAAGCUACUUAUCAGUCCAUUCUGGAUAAGGUGGACAUGCGGCUUACUGGAUGGAAUGUGGCUAAUUUAUCCUUUGCUUGAAGAGUAACUUUGGCUCAAUCGGUGGUUCAAGCAAUGCCCAUUUAUGCAAUGCAAACAACUUUGCUUCCCCCCCGAUGCGUCAUAAAAUUGACACGACUUGUCAUCGGUUUAUUUGGGACGGGAAGUCGAAGAGGCACAAGAUGAGUAUGGUGGGCUGGGACAGAAUUUGUAUGCCAAAGAAUCAUGGGGGUCUGGGGUUUAAAAAGCUAGAUGUGUUGAACCAUGCACUGCUGAUGAAGCUGACCUGGGAAGUUGUAUCUAACUCGGACAAAUUAUGGGUGAAGGUGUUUUGUUCUAAAUAUGGGUUGGAUCCUGGAAACUUACCGCUCUCUCUCCUAGAUAAACAAUGGUCCCGUAUUUGGAUGGCUAUCAGGAAAACGUGGGCAGACACCAUGCAUGGAGCCCGCUGGUCAGUUUGUGAUGGUGUGAGAACUCGGUUUUGGCUUGACUGCUGGGUAACGAAGCAAGAACCUUUGAUAAAUUUUGCCCUCCAGCCGAUCUCUCACGAGAUUAUUAAUGCUACUGUGAGUGAGUUUAUAAACGAACACAGGGGCUGGAACUGGCUGAGAUUUGAACAUUUGCUGCCAAAUUACAUCCUCAUAUUGCAUCAGUUAGGCACUGACAAAAUUUACUGGAGUUUUGAUCCAAGAGGUGUGUUUACUGUCCGUUCAGCCUACGACUCCAUCUAUCGUCAAAACCUAGCCAUCCAAGAUGAAGCAUGGAGCUUAGCAUGGUCGUGGAAGGGACCCCAAUCUAUCCGCCUUUUUCUUUGGCAAAUUAUGCAUGGGAAGUUGAAGACUCAUGGUGAGCUGUCUCGGCGUCACAUUCCCGUGUCUAUGGCUUGUGAUAGGCGUGGGGCAUUGGUUGAGGACAUUCUACAUGCAUUGAGAGAUUGCCAUUGUAUUAAACGGGUUUGGCUGCGACUUGUUCCAGAGGGUGAUUAUCACUCUUUCUUUCACAUUAAUUUACGGGAUUGGAUUGUAGUUAAUCUUCAGAACAAGUUAAAGUUCGUUUCCCACAUUCAUUGGGAGUGUGUUUUUGGAGUGGCCGUUUGGAGAUUAUGGUUCUGGAGAAAUCAUUUCAUGGUCGAAGGAAAAUUGGUGGAUAGCUCAGCAAUUAAUAUGGAUAUUAUGGCCAGAGCAAAUGAAAUUCAUAGAGUGAAUAAUUCUCACAUGAGUCAGCAACCGAGGAGAAAAGAGAUGCUUAUCGGCUGUCAGCCUCCUCCAUGGCCUUGGUGUAAGUUAAAUACGGAUGGAUUUGUUAGAAAUUCAUGGGAUGUAGGGGCUGGUGGUGUUAUUCGUGAUUCAGUUGGUCACUGGAUUUCGGGAUUUUGUAUGAAUAUUGGGGAGUGUUCGGUGGUUAUGGCUGAGCUAUGGGGUCUAUAUCAAGGUUUAAUCCUGGCGUAGGAUGCUGGCAUAAAACGUCUUUUGGUGGAAGUGGACAGUCUGUGUGUUUCACAGAUGAUUUCUAAGCAGGUGGUCGUGCCUAAUGCUUUUUAUGCUCUAGUUGUUGCUAUCCCGAAACUUCUAAGCAGGAACUGGCAAGUUUCCCUCACUCACAUCUUUCGUGAAGCGAAUUCAACUGCGGAUUUCAUGGCUAAUAUGGCUUAUUCAGUCUCUCAUGGGUUACAUUUAUUUACUAGCCCGCCUGUGGUUAUUUAUUUAAUUAUAUUGCAAGACAUGUUUGGGGUUGCUCAACCCCGUAUUGUUCCGGUUUAGCUCGAAUUUGAGCCCAUUUUAAUCAAAAAAAGAAAAAGAAAAAAAGAAAUUGACUUAUUAAUUAAUUAACAAUUAUAGAAAGAAUAAAUAGAAAAUUAUAAUGGCGAACCUUGCUUGUUCUUUGCCUCUUGGGCUUAUGGUGUACCCUUGUCCCCCGCUGGGGGUUUCAUCCAUUCUUCUGUAUGAUUCUUACGGGGUUGCGACUCCUCGUUCGGUUGUUUUUUAGCUCUUAAUUGAGCCCCAGUUGAUCAAAAAAAAAAAAAAAAAAUUAUAGUUGCGUGAGAAAACUCUCGUGAAAAGGGCUCCGGAUUUCCUUUCCCUGGCUUCGUGCGUUUCCUUUUGCCCUUUCGAGCACGAAUUCGAAUCCAGUACUUUAUAAUAAAGAUAUAAUAUUAAAAAAUAAGAAAAAGAAUCCAAAUUUUUACUGGUAUAUAACGCAGAGCCAAAGCGAUAGCAAAACAUCAAAUUGUUUUUAUUUCAACCUUCGCGCAACUUCCGGUGACAUAAUUUUUAUCUGUUUCAGGUAUCGUUCUUGUUUUUUUGUUAUUCAUUCACAUAUCCUUCUUUUCUUUUCUUUUUUGCUGUAUUUUGUUUAUGAAACGCUCUGUUUCAGUUUUGUUUCUGGUUUUGUUUCAGUUUAACAUUAUUGGUUCGGUUCUGUUCUACGUCGUAUGUAUAUAUGUAUAUAUUUUUGGCCUCGAAUUGCUUUGAUCACCGGUUUUGUUAUUCAUUUAUCGUGAAUUUUAGAUGACUUGUUUGGCCAUGUAUUCACUUGAUUAUUACAUUCAGCUGCCAUUUUCAUGGUGGGUUUGUAAGAUAGUCUCUGACUAGCAUACGACAUUGAUCAUGAAUGAUGGUUUUGUUAGAUACAUCAUACGGAUGUUAACUCGUAUUAUUGUGUACUUACUUCAUUCAAAAGAUUAGUGUUUCUCUCUCUCUCAAUUUUUUUAAGAAAAAAAAUGAAAUGCCCCUUUUCGCAUUUUAUAGGUGAAAGGAAGAAACAUAAUAUCGCAGUGUCAAGGAAGCUCAUAAUGUAUGGAAGGAUGCAGCACACGUGUGAGAUGAAUACAGUCAGCUGAAGUUAGUUAGACACGUUAAGAUCAUAUUCAAUUAGCUUCUUUAUUUUCUGUUAAGUUGUAAACAGCUGAGUAUAAAUACAAGCAUCUUGUAAUCAUUUCGUUGUUAAGAAAAAUGAAAUAAAGCAUUUGAUUCAGAAGUCUUUUACAAAUUUUCUUAGCACUUUAAAUACAUUUUCUCAGUAACCAAACAGUCUGUUCAUUCAAGCUUUUAAGCUUUCAAACAUGGUAUCAGAGCCAUACAGAGCUAGUUCCAGUAAUCAACAGUCAAGCUUUCGUAAUCAAACAACAAACAACACAAAUCAAUCUACUCAAAUCAACUUCUCCUUUACUAAUCCUAUCAAGCUAGAUCGAUCAAAUUACUUACUCUGGCGCUUUCAAGUUUUAGCCUCAAUAAGAGGCAAUCGUUUGGAAGAUUUCGUCACAGGAGCCAAAUCAGUACCUGAUAAGUGUCUUCUGUUAACUGAAGUAGAUGGAUCUACACAACAAAUUGAAAAUCCAGAAUAUCAGAUCUGGAGAUCACAGGAUCAGACACUUCUUGGCUGGCUACUGUUGUCAUUAAGUGAAGGUAUCUUAAGUCUUGUUAUCAAUUGUGAAAGUUCAUUUGAUAUAUGGAAAACUUUGGAAAAGAAAUUUGGAGUUCAAUCUGAAGCUCGAGUUCUUCAGCUCAGAUAUGAACUAAACACUCUUAAAAAGGAAGCUCUUAGUGUUUAAGAUUAUUGUAUUAAAAUGAAAGCAAUAACUGAUAAGCUAGCCAGUGCUGGUAGUUCAAUUACAGAGAAGGAUCUUAUGUUAACUAUUCUUAAUGGAUUAGGACCAGGAUUUCGUGAUAUUGCUACAUUUAUAACUGGUUCACGAAUGGAAUUUGAUGAUGCUUAUGCACUGUUACUCACUCAUGAGACUAGAUUAGAGCAGGAGAAAGGUGACAGAAGUAUGUUUAAUGCAAACUAUGCAUAUACGAAUGCAUAUUAUCCUAGAGCUUAUUUUGCACAGCCUAGAGGAAGUUUUAAACGAGGAGGUUAUUCUGGUGGUAGAACUCCUUUCUUUGGCAGAGGAAAUAUGAAUUACUCUCCAAGAAUGUUUAAUGGAGGUGUUAGAAAUGGAUAUUGCAGAGGAUUUUUUCCUGGAAAUAACUCAACUGAUUUCAAUCAUUUUUCAGCUCCUAGGAAUCCAGUACCUAGGAACUCAUCCUUUCUAGCUAGAAAUGGUGCUAAUAUGAGUGGAUCACAAGGAAGCUUUAAUAAUGCUAGGGAGCUGGUAUGUCAGAUUUGCUUUAAGAAUGGUCAUACUGCUGAUGUCUGUUGGCACAGAUUUGUUGAAGACUUUGUACCUAUUCCAAGAGGUUUUGGCAGGGGAAAAACACCAAGAGCAGCAUAUUUCUCAAACUUUGAUGGCCCUACUUCUAAUCCAGAUUUUGGCUAUGAAAAUAAUAAUAUGUUUCCAGGUUAUGAUUCUAUAUCUGGCAAUAGUUACUAUUCUGGAAUGGAUGGAUACACUUCUGGAGCAGUUGGAACAGCUUUCAUGGCUAAUUUUGAAGGAACUGCUGAUGAUAGAUGGUAUCUGGAUAGUGUGGCAACUCACCAUUUAACCAACAAUAUGGAGAAUUUGCAGAUCAAUGAAGAGUUUAAAGGUACUGAUCAGCUUAUCAUUGGAAAUGGUCAAGGUUUGUCUAUUACUCAUGUUGGACAUGCAUUUCUGGUAUUAAGAGCUUCUAAAUCUUUAUCUAUACAUGCUAGAAUAACACUUAAAGAUGUGUUAUUUGUUCCUUCAAUUACCAAAAAUCUAUUAAGUAUUUCCAAACUCACAUCUGAUAAUCUUGUAUCUGUUGAAUUCUGUGGAAAUGUUUGUUUUGUAAAGGACAUGAAGGGUCAAGUUCUUCUGCAGGGUAUUGCUGAAAAAUGCCUUUACAAGCUGCUGCUGAAAUCUAAUUCUCUUUCUUCAUCACCUACAUCUUAUCUUUGUAAAUCCCAGCCAAAUAAACCAGUUUCUAUGUUAUCUGCUUUCAAACACUGUGAUAAUGGUACUCGAGCUUGCUAUCAAUCUGUUUUAAAUAAGUGUAAUGUCAAACCUGAUAUGAUAACUUUGUUACAUAGAAAGUUUGGUCAUCCAAGCUCAAUGACAUUGGUGCAUUUGCUCAAAUCAUGUAAACAGUUUAAAGUCUCUCCAAAAGACAUGUUAUCUUCUGCAAACACUUUAUGUGAAGCAUGUCAGCUAGGCAAAGUCCAUAAGCAACAUUUCUCAAUAACUGAAACAAAAACAAAAGGGGUAUUAGAAUUGAUUCAUACUGAUCUUUGGGGGCCUUCACCCACUGUGUCUAGAGAUGGAUACAAAUACUACAUUAGUUUUGUGGAUGAUUAUACUAGGUAUUCUUGGAUCUAUCCUCUUAAGCUCAAAUCACAAGCAUUUGAAGUUUUUAAAUUGUUCAAAACUCAAGUUGAGAAUCAGUUUGAUACCAAAAUUAAGAAGCUACAAUCUGACCUUGGGGGAGAGUUUAGAGCAUUUACUGAUUUUCUGAAUCAAAAUGGAAUAAUGUUUAGACACUCAUGUCCUUACACUCAUCACCAAAAUGGUUUUGUUGAGAGGAAACACAGGCAUAUAGUUGAGCUAGGCUUAACCCUCAUGGCUCAAGCAAACCUUCCUCUUCAAUUCUGGUGGGAACCUAUUCAUACAGUAGUGUAUCAUAUUAAUAGAUUGCCUACCCCUGUUCUGAAAUUCUUAUCUCUUUAUGAGAAACUUUUCAAACACAAACUAGAUUACACAUUCCUGAAGUGUUUUGGUUGUCUUUGCUACCCAUACUUGAGAGAUUUUAACAAACAUAAGUUUGAUUUUCACACCUCUAAAUGCAUUUUUAUUGGAUACAAUCCCUCUUAUAAAGGAUACAAGUGCUUAGCAAGUUCUGGCAAAGUCUAUGUUCUUAGACAUGUCAUUUUUGAUGAAAACACAUUCCCUUAUCCAAUAAACACUACAUCUCACACAUCAGAAAACUCCAUAUCUUCUGAAACCUCAGUGUCUAAUUUCUCUCAACAACAUAUCUAUCAUCUUUCUACAAUGGCCUUACCCAACAGCAGCUUUGAAGGUCUUCAAUCAGCAGGCUCAGCAAGAAGUGAACAAAUGUCCUCUGUUCCCACACAUACAGAUAUUCUGAAUCAACAAGAACAUCCAUCACACACAUCUUUAGAGUUAUCAUCCUCAACCUCACCAUCACCAAACACAUUACCAGUACAAUCAUCCAUUCUACAAUCAGAGGAAACUUCUAUUCCACAGAACAUAGACCAAAUUCAAACCAGAAAUCAUUCCCAACCAUCUUCUCAUCCAAUGAUUACCAGAUCAAAAUCUGGAAUCUUCAAACCAAAGGUCUAUACAGUCACCUUAGCCAACAAAGAACCUAGUACAGUUCAAGAAGCUCUUAGUAGUCAGAAUUGGCAUCAAGCCAUGGUAGAUGAGUAUGCAGCUUUGAUAAAGAAUGAGACUUGGUCACUGGUACCAUUUUCAAAUGCAUACAAAGUAGUUGACAAUAAAUGGGUGUUUAGACUUAAGCAAAAUACUGAUGGAAGCAUAGUUAAACACAAGGCCAGGUUGGUUGCCAAAGGUUUUCAGCAAACUGAAGGUGUGGAUUACUUUGAGACCUUUAGCCCAGUUGUAAAAGCUUCAACAGUAAGGAUUGUUCUGAGUUUAGCUGUGAUGCAUAAAUGGAAAAUAAGGCAAGUGGAUGUGAAUAAUGCAUUCUUGAAUGGAGACUUGACAGAGGAUGUCUAUAUGUAUCAGCCUGAAGGUUUUAUUGAUCAACAAAAACCCAAUCAUAUAUGUAAGCUGAAGAAGGCCUUGUAUGGCUUGAAGCAAGCUCCUAGAGCUUGGUAUGACAAGCUUAAGAAUUGUCUUAUUGCUAAUUGGAAAUUUCAGAAUUCAAAGGCUGAUACCUCUCUCUUCUUCAAAGAAGUGCAGGGUUCAAUGAUACUUAUCUUAAUCUAUGUUGAUGACAUUCUAAUAACAGGACCUGAUAAUGGUGAGCUGGAAAAAUUCAUCUCAGAAUUCAGUAAGACUUUUUCCUUAAAAGACUUAGGGAAUUCUGUCAUAUUUUCUGGGGAUAGAAGUUUCCUAUGCUGAAGACUGCAUCUAUUUAUCUCAGAAGAAAUAUAUCUUGGAUUUGUUAUCCAAAGCUGAUAUGCAAAAUUGUAAAGGCUGUGACACUCCCAUAGUUACUGGAACAAAGCUUCAGAAAGAAGUCAAAGGCUGUUUGGGUCAAUAUAUUGAGGAUGCAACAAGCUAUAGAAGCUUAGUUGGAGGUUUACAAUAUCUGGUAUUAACCAGACCAAAGAUAGCAUUUGCUGUGCAUAAGUUGAGCCAGUAUGUGACAGCUCCAACACUCCAGCAUGUUAUGGCUUGUAAAAGAGUUCUUAGAUACCUUAAGGAAACUGCAGAUCAUGGUUUGAAGUUUUCAGCAGGUGGAGAAAUGAAGAUCACAGGAUUUACAGAUGCAGAUUGGGCAUGUGAUGUUGAUGACAGAAAAUCAAUAGGAGCAUAUUGCAUUUAUUUUUGGAAACAAUCUAAUUUCAUGGUCAUCCAAGAAGCAGGCUAUGGUUACACGAUCCAGUGCAGAGAGUGAAUAUCGUGCUCUGGCUUCUGCAAGUGCAGAGAUAACAUGGAUCCAGUCAUUAUUCAGUGAACUCAACAUUAAGUGUACUUCAUUACCAACUAUCUGGUGUGAUAAUAUAAGUGCAACAGAGUUGGCCAAGAAUCCAGUUUAUCAUUCAAGGACAAAACACAUUGAACUGGAUAUGCACUUUAUUAGAGACAAAGUUUUGGCAAAGGAGUUGGAGAUUAACUAUAUUCCCAGCGAGGAGCAAAUUGCUGAUGCUUUGACAAAGCCUCUGACAUUCAUUCAUUUCAAUUAUUUCAGAGACAAACUCAAUGUGCAACCAUGCCCCUUGAGUUUGAGGGGGGCUGUCAAGGAAGCUCAUAAUGUAUGGAAGGAUGCAGCACACGUGUGAGAUGAAUACAGUCAGCUGAAGUUAGUUAGACACGUUAAGAUCAUAUUCAGUUAACUUCUUUAUUUUCUGUUAAGCUGUAAACAGCUGAGUAUAAAUACAAGCAUCUUGUAAUCAUUUCGUUGUUAAGAAAAAUGAAAUAAAGCAUUUGAUUCAGAAGUCUUUUACAAAUUUUCUUAGCACUUUAAAUACAUUUUCUCAGUAACCAAACAGUCUGUUCAUUCAAGCUUUUAAGCUUUCAAACACGCAGAACUAGAAUAAAGGAGCCUAUUCUGGUACCUAUUGUCCAAGAAAGCUUCUGUAUAUUCAGUAGGAACUACCAUGGAAGUCAAAUCUUACCAGAGCCAGGCGGAGUCGUUGCUGAAGGAAUAUAUAUUAGCAGAUCCAUUUCUCCCGUACACUUCAAUUGUUGGUAGCAUUUUUGCUUGCACGAUGGUAUGUUUGUCAUCGUUACUGCGUGGUGGUAUUUACUAGAAAAUAUUUUGAAUGCGUAGUUUUCAUCUAAUUAGUUAUAAAUUUUAUACCCUCUGUUUUCCAUAAGAAUGUGUUCCUUUUCAGGUCUAUGAUCUUGCCCAAUUGAUUAGUGUGCUGAUAACUUUAAAUCUGAUUCCAGUUUCUCCAACAUACAGCGGGUCGAGUGGAGUAACAGGUGAUUGAAAAUUUUCAUUUAGUCCAAUUGUCAUUUCUUUCUCAAUCGGUAAAAUUUAAUCAUUUUUCUUAAAUCGACAACUUAUGCCGGGCCAUAUCAACUGUCCAUGACAUUUUUAUUACAACGAUGUCUUUGUACUUUGUGUUUUGGUCGAAUCUCAGAGUUUGUGCAUAGCACACUUGGUUCUACUGUUUGUUUGUCCCUUCAUAGACAUUUUGAUAAACUGUUAUUUUUGUUCUUUGGAAGUGAAUAUUUUCAGCAACUAGAACUCCGAAGCAUCUGGAGUGAUCCAUUUUGUCAUUCGCAAUACCUAUAAAAGAAUGUCAUAGAAAACAGUUUCCAAAGCAAGUUGCAUGUGUUUUGAAUUUGUCUUUGCAAGCCACUAAUUGCUUGGAGCGCACUGUUAGCCUGUCGUGAUCCCAUCCACUUUUUUGGAUAGACAAUUGUGCAUCCAUAUGAUCUGGACUAAACUAGUUUCUAAUAAAUAAUUGCCCAAGGAUUUAGUCUCAGUGUUACAGCCCAGUCUUUGUUGUCAAUACUCUUUCCCCUGUCGUGGAUGAGCGCCAUAACAGCUUCUUAAUGUUUUGCAGUGGCUUUUGCACGGUUGUUGUUUCCUUCUGAAGCUAGAGUAGCUACGGAUAGAGCGGAUGCAGAUGCCACCAAUUUUUAUACUGGCCUUUCAGCAUCAAAAUCAAAAGGAUCAAGUGGGAACUUAAAGGAGGUUGAUUUGAAUGAAACACCCUCCAUGCAAGCCAAGAGACUCCAAUUAAGAUUGCAAGCUCUGCUUAAAACAAGUAUUCAUAUACCUUAUUAGUUUUUGUACCUUUACAAUUUGUGAUUUUUGUAUCAAAAGAGAGAGGUUAAUUUUUAGUACAUUGAUAUCUCGACAAACUGUUAGAACCUUUGCACCACUAGAGACAUUUUCUUAGAGCAUUUACUGAACCUUCUAUGAUUGCAGUGGAGAUAGGUCGACGCUACUUCCCUCGUUGCUCAGAAGUGGUUGAUAAAUUUUAGGAUUGUGAUUGGUCCGAUGCUUCCCUCCUAGAAAAAGGGUACUCCUAAAGAGCAGAGACUCAAAAGGGCACGCUUCAUGGAACUUAAAGAAGACGUGAAGAAGGCAUUUUACAAGGACAUGGCUGAGAAAAAAUGGCUCAGGUUUGUAGUCAUCCUCGUCAUCGUCAUCUUCUCCGAAGGACGGAGUAAAGUGUAAGGGUAGGAAAAUGUGAUGCUUAUCUGCUUGUCUUUGUUAUUCAUUUACAGGCAACUAAAAGAGUUUUAGUGAGUUGGAUUGUUACUUGUAGAGAGAUACUCUUCGAGCCUAUGUUAUGGCUUAUGUUGUAUAAUAGCAGAGGAACUUCAAGCUUGCGUUGUUGUAUUUUCCCUGGUAUUUGGCAUGUGAUGCACUAAAUGACAAAGAAUUUUCUAAUUUUAGAGGGGAAAGUUAUGUCAGUUAAUUAUUUAUUUAUUUUGUCUGUUUAAUUCAGUUUACACAGCGCUUUUUUUUUUCUAAAAAAAUCUUCAUAUCUCCAUCUGCAAUUUAAGUCAUUCUUAACUUGUUUCAGGAUGGGGAACAAAAAAAAAAAAGAGAAAAUGAAAAGAAGCAUUUGUAAGUAUAUUUUACAGUACUGAUUUUCCUAUAGAAAUUGGUUAAUGUGACAUUAAUGUUCUUUGAGAUAGACGGAUAUACAGAUUUUUCGUCGAAAUUGAAAUUAGAAAUGGAUGGAUAUGCAGAAUUUUUUAAUAGAAUUUUUAUACAAAAAUUUGUAGCUCAUUACUCUCUAAAAGGAAAAAAUAAAUUUUUGAUUGUAAAUAUUAAAUUUUAAAUUUAUAAUAUAAUAACUUUGUGAGUUAAGGUGCACAAUACCCAUAUAUUAAUAAUUAAGAAAAGAAAAAAAAAUUAAAAUUUGUAAAUUACCAAUUUUUUCUUGAAAUUUGAUAUUCUAUAUUAACGUAGGUGUUGCAUGGACUGGGUUAGUACAAUUGAAAGAAACUAACUAAAGUAAAACAAAAUAUCAUUAAAAAUAUGGCAAGCUUCUCAUAUUUUUUAAGUGAAAAAGAGAAGAAAACUAAAAUUAGUUAUUUUUAUACCCAAAUUCUAGUGCUUGAAGGCCGCUGGAAUUGACCAUUGCAGUUUUGUCAUCCUCAUUAUUCACCGGCCAUCGUGGCCUUCCUCCAUUAAAAAAAUAAAUGAUCAUUUUUUUGGACCACGACAUAUUAAAAAUAGUAUUGAUUAAUACUAAUAAAUCUCUUUUUUUAUUAUUUUGCAGUGCAAUAGUCCAGUGAGGGCAGUGCCCAUCGUAGCACUUGAACAUGUGGUAAAUUUCUGCCAGUCUUUGUAAAAUAAUUUUUAAAUUAUGUAUUAACCAGAUAGCUCAAUGAAAACUAUCGUUCACUAAAUCAUUACUUUAUUUUGUAUAUAUUUAUGGUAAUUGUUGAAAAGAAAAAUGUAAAGUGAGAUUAAUGAACGUUUAUGAAUGUGGAAAUUAACACAACCAGGAUUUAUGAUAAAAUAAUUUUAAGUCAAAUGAGCAUAAAUUUGUAUAAAUAUUUUUUGAAUUGUCAUAUAUAUACAAGUUUGUCACUAAUUCCUUACCUAAAUCAUGUACUAAGCAAACAGCAAAUAAGAUCGAAAAUCUUGUUGAAUAUUCCUAUGUUCCCGAGUCCGCCCAGAUCACUGAAUCUUCUUUACCUCUUAUCAGUCCAUACCAUCUGUAUAAAAAAACCAUCUUCUUUUACUAAAACCAUCAAAACCCUGAUUUCUACCAAACGCCCCUCUCCUAAAGAGUAUAUCCAGUCAUCUAAACUAGAUCAGUGUGCUUUAAUGGCUACUGCAGCUGAACAAUAUGUGACACUUGAGAUACCCCCAGAAGUAAUCUCUACAUGGAAAAGAAAAGGCUAUACACAUCUUCAUCUUGCAGGUGUUCGCCUUAUCCUUACUCUCAAUGGGAGAAAGGGUCUACCCGUCACAGCCCGAAUUGCUUUGCUUGACACCAGGUUUAAGCAAUAUCAGCAUGCCAUUAUUGGCACAGUUCUUACUACUCUCUCUGCCGGAAAUGUUUUGCUUACAUUCUAUCCUAAUUUCAAUCUUUCUCUUCUUGACUCUAAUCUUUUCAAAGUAGGUUUUAAUGGUGUUCAAAAACAUAACAUCACAUUAAGGAAUCAUUCUUUUAUUGUUAUCCCCAAAAAAAGUUCACCUUCACCAACCCCCUCAUUUACCCUUCUUCUCAGCUAUCCUUUGGCGUAUCUCCAUUUUAAUAGGAAGUAUUAGCAUAUCUCCCACUUUUCUCCCCUGCCGUUUGUAUACCGUUUCAUAUUGUUAAUGGACGAAGCUACAAGUCUUCUCUUUCAUCAAAUCGAUCCAUAACAAAUACGAGUCUGCUUCACCUAACCAAAACACACACAUACUCCAUCUCUAAAUGCUUUGAAGAUAAACAAAUCAACGGUAAUCCUGCAACUUUAGCUCAGAGAAUCGGAUAAGAAAAGAACAGGCGAUGAAUCAAGGGUAAUGGCGCCGAGUGAGUGUCGCCUGCGGUCGGCGUUAGAGGCGACUGUCACUCAAUCGCGUACAAGGUUAGUCUUUGAAAAAACUCUUUGCACGUUAGAAAUCAGUGAUUGGGCAUUAUUUUGUUAUUUAAAAUGAAAAUGGGUUUGUUGAUGUGUUGAAGAAGUUUCUCUACUGCUGGUGUUUUUUUAUUAAUUAAAAUGAAAAUGGGUUUGUUAAUUUAUUGAAGCAGCUGCUGGCAUUGUUAUUGUGACUUUAUUUAUCCAAUUGAUGAGCUUAUGAGCUAAUAGUAUUGUUUGAUCAAGCUUGUGUUCUUAAUAGUGGAGUUGAUAUUCUUAAAAUGAAUUUAUGAUUAUGAGAAUAUGAAAAUUGAAUGGCAUCGUAGAGAUCUGGAUUAAUCACCAUCGUAUAUGUUUCUAAAUAAAGGAAUAAGCAGCAACCGAUUUGAAAGUUAAGACUUUAGGGAUAUGUAUGUGCAACUGAAUGAAUCAUCAGUUGCUAUCUUGUAAGUCAGUGCUAGCAUAUUACCUAAUGGCAAGUGAAGCUAUUUUAUGUGUAUUGCUGCCUAUCAAAAUGUUUAUGUUUGAAGUUUUCUCCUUUUGGGAAAUUGAAUGCUUCUGUGAGUUCUCUGGUAAGGGCUAUACAACUAUCUCUAAUAGAUUCCUUCAUGUGCAUUAAUUAGCUUAGUAGUUUAUUGACCUAUAUCCAAUGUCUAUUCUCCUUUUCUGUAGCCGUCUAGUUUUAUGAGUGUGUGAAGUGAACUUUUGUUUUAUGUUUCAGGACUUGGGAUUAGAGUGUAUAACAUUCAAUAUCUUUAUAUCAAAGAACUGAUAUAUGUCAAUGUAGUGCGAUCUGGUCUUUAUUAGCUUCUUGAUUUGCCAGGAUGUUUGACAACCAUCUUUGACCAUGAUUGCCAACAUAUAAGCUGCUACAUAGUGUCUCAGGAAUCACAGCAAAUUAUUAUCAUAAUAUGGUGAUUUUGAAUCCAAAACUUGGUAGUGUCAAGAAAAUAGACCCAUGUUUAUUUAUCUUCAUGUUUUGUAUGCGCCUGCAAUAGACUAUUAUAAGUUACUUUUAGUUUUGUCAAUUUUUUUUCCCUUAAAUGUCAGUUAUUUCAGCGGUUUCUUUUAACUGAGUUAAUAGUGUUGUUAGGUUAAACUAAGUUUGGCUUCAUAAGCUUCAUAGUAGAGUGUAGAAUUGGGUAUAAUUUUGGAUUAGACAAGUCAAAGGUCUUAUCAAGUAAUUGUUCUGCUUACUGAUUUGGUAAUUGCAACAUUGCUAAAUAGUUCAAUUUGUCCUUUUUAUUUUGUUGAAUUUAUUGUAUGUCAUAUUACUUAAUUUAAUUAUUUUCUCAGAUCUUGUAGGUGAAAAUUUCAGCUUCAAAGACCAAAGCUAAUCAUCCAGCAAUUCAGUGAAGAAACCAAGACACAGUGGCUCAUAAAUUGUUGUUGGUGAUCCCAGCCAUUCGGGUGCUCGCCAGUCCUAGAUGAGAAACCUUUCAACGCGGCGCAUAAAUUGUUGUAGAGCUGCUUUAUAUAUUUUGACCUUUGUGAUUUGUGAAUACAUGGUUUGAUUCCAGUGUUUACAACUUUGAAAUUCAAUUAAAAGUUGAGCUGUCAUUGAUUGAUGACAAGAUUGUGUUGUAUAACUUGAGAAGCAAAUGAAACAAACAGGAAAUAUGUUUUUUUAUUUUUUUAAUCUAUCUAUCUAUUUAUUUUUUGUUUGGAAAUGUUACAAUUUAUAGCUGGCAAAGUAAUAGAGUUGUAUACUUGUAUUUAAUUUAUUAUUAUUAUUAUUAUUUUAAUGACUCGGUAAUGUCAUUGUCCGUGGUGUUUUGUCAUUUCGAAAGUACUUAACCCUUCCACGCUAAGGCACAUUACCGCAGCCGAAACUUUGAGCUUUCAGUUCUUGAUUUUAGCGUGAGGGGUAUCUUUGUCUUUUCAGUAGUCAACACACGGUCAACAAAACAGUGUACAAACAAUCGACCUGUGAACUUGGGUCAAAGCUUUCAUCUUUAAAUCACAUAGGUAGAUCAUGAUUCAAGCUUCAGUUAUAAGCCUUUCAUUGUGAUUGAGGUAAUUGUGUUUCACUGCUAUUUGUAUUGCUUAAAUUUAUGCUUCUUGGUAUAGUUUUAACAUAUAUGGGAUUGAAAUCAAUUUCAGUUGUGAAGCAACUCCGGUGGUUCCCAAUAUUAGGCAUUGUAGUAGAUCCAAAAUUAGCUUGUUAAGAAGUGUAGAUACCGUAGAGCCCAAAACUCCGUCUUAUCUUGCAAGAGUCUGUUGUUUUAUUUUGAAAGAGACAAAAGUGAUGAUGAUGGGCAGCGAACUCUAGGAAUCAAUGCUUGCUGACACUGACCCCCAAGAAUCAAUGAGUCUGAAUUUGAUAAGUGCACCUAUCCUAUCACAAAAGCUUUUGCGUUGAGUUUCUAACCAAUUUUCAUUUGGGUAGGUGUCAGUUCAUGCUCUGGCUUGACUGUUCUGUUAUUUAGGUUGUUUUAUCCGUAUUUUCUUCACUCACUUGAUGGUUAGUUCUCUCAUGCUUUCAAGCUCUCAACAGUGAAUGCGAGAGAUUCUAUUUUUCCCGUCCAGUCUAUAACCUAGCAAAUCAUUAAUGCUGUAGAAUAGCAUCUUGUGUAGCCGAGUUUAUGUCUCUGAACAUUGGUCCAUCGGCAUUUAGGUUCAAUAAGCAUCUUGAAUUUUGAAUAUAUUAUUCUGAAUCAAAACCCUAUCUGUCCGUGUAGCAUUUUUUAUAUGCUUUACGAUGUUUACCAAUAAUUACCCACUAUGGGGUAUUUGAAUUUUGAAUAUAUUAUUCUGAAUCAAAACUCUAUCUGUCCGUGUAGCUUUGGCUUCUGAACUUGGUUGAGAAGGCUCUUGUGGAAGAUGUAAUCCCAAUUCUCGUGGCUGCCUUGCAUUGCCAACUGAACCACCUCCGUUCUUUCUGCAUCCAGAGAAUUGCAAAGUCAAAUCUUGACAAUGUUUGUCUCGAGAAAGAGCUUCCUGAUGAAGUUUCAAGUGAAAUCAAAUCACUCCGUGUCAAAUCUAACCAGGAGUCUGAAGCUAAUAUAGCAGAAGUGGAUCCUAUGCAUGCAAAAAUAGUCAGAAGAAUCCACAAGGCGCUGGACUCUGAUGACGUUGAACUGUUGAAGCUUCUUCUGGAUGUAUCUAGUGUCACUCUGGAUGAUGCUUACGCUCUGCACUAUGCUGCUGCCUACUGCAACCCUAAGGUUUUUAAGGAAGUGCUCAAUAUGGGCUCGGCUGGUCUCAAUCUUAAGGAUGCAAGAGGACAGACGGUCCUUCAUGUGGCUGCAAGGCGUAAUGAGCCAGAAGUGAUGGUGACUCUGCUGAGCAAGGGAGCAUGCGCAUCAGAAACUACAUCAGAUGGGCAAACAGCUGUAGCAAUCUGUCGGAGAAUGACAAGGCUAAAGGAUUAUCUUGAAGCUACAAAGCAGGGGCAGGGAACUAACAAAGACCGGUUAUGCAUUGAUGUCCUUGAGAGAGAGAUGAGAAGGAACUCCAUGUCUGAGAACUUGGCAAUGCCAUCAGAGGUGAUGGAUGAUCAUUUCCAAGCGAAGCUGGACUAUCUAGAAAAUACAGGUGAUAUUUCUUUACUGGUAUUAGUUCAUCACCUUCUCAGAGUUUGUGCAUAGCACACUUCUUUCUACUGUUUGUUUGUCCCUUCAUAUGGAAAAUGGAGGUGAUAUUCCUUUACUGGUAUUAGUAAAUCAUCUUCUCAAGAGUUUGUGAGUCCCUUCAUUUUAGCAUCUCAAACACACAUGGGCUCAUUGCUUGGGGCACACUGUUGGCCAGUCAUGUGAUUUGAUCCCCUUUUUUGGAAUGGAGAAUUCUGAAUCCAUCUGAUCUAGGCUUUGUGGUUUGCACUGAACUGGUUUUUGAUGAAUAAUUGUACAAGACUUUGUAAUAAAAAACUUUUUUUUUUUUCCCAAAAAGUAAUGAGCUACCAAAAAAUUUAUGCCUAUCCUGGAUGACUGCCAUAACAGCUUCUUAAUAUUUUGCAGUGGCUUUUGUACGGUUGUUUCCUUCUGAAGCGAGAGUAGCUAUGGAAAUAGCAGGUGCAGAUACCGCCACUGGCCUUUCAGCAUUAGGUCAGAAAGGACUAAGUGGGAACUCAAAGGAGAUUGAUUUGAAUGAAACGCCCUCUAUGCAAGCCAAGAGACGCCAAUUGAGACUGGUAACUCUGCUUAAAACAGGUAUUUAUAUACUUUAUUAACUUUUGCACCUUUCUAUUUACUGAUUAUCUUUAUAAUUAACUAAUACAUGUAUCCAGGUUUCUCCUUCCAAUUGGAAUUUCUUUAUAGUGCUCUGUUAGGUGUAAUCAGAUGUAUCAAAAGAGAAAGGGUAAUUGUUAGUACAUUGAUAUCUCAACAAAAUGGUAGAACCUUUCUUUAUACCAGUUAAGACAUUUGUUGCAGGUAUGCCUACAUAAUCAGUGUCCUUCAAAACUUUCAAGGAGUUAGCUAUGCCUAACCCCUGAAACACUAAAUCUCACGGGAUCAACUCUUUACCUCUAGACCGAAGGUGUGACACCCAGACCCAAUUAGGGCUUAGAACACAUAUCGAAUCUGAGUGAAACUAAAUGCCUGUAAAUCCAAAUCUCCAAAAUAUCAAAAAGUCAUCUACUUUCUCUUUUCAUGUAUUUCACAAAAUUUUGAAAAAUUCAUUCUCAAUCAUAAACUAUGCACAGCUAAUUAUUCAGCAUAUCAGUAUAGAGCAAUACUUCCUCAUAAGCAAAUAAAUCUUACAAUCCUUCUUACAUGAUUUGAAAAAAAUACUAAUAGAAGUCUUCUAGAUACAAACAUAAACAGAAUUCAACUGUUUAAAACUAUGCCAAAACACAAGCUUCAAUCAGUAAUACAUACGACUAAUUAUUAAAAACAUCUAGCCAGAAACCUUACGAAAGCUCAAUCCUUCCGAAGCAUUCUUCAAAUUAAUAAUUGCUACCAUCUGUAAAAAAUAAUUGGUAAGGAGUCAACUGUGAACUCAAUCAGUAGAAACAUUCGUAACGAACAAAAAGAAUUCUUUGUGCAAUAUUUUCAGAAAAUUCAUUUAACCUUUCAAAUGAAACAAAGUAAUUUUUCUAACGCAGUCAGGAUUUAUAUAAAACACAAACGUUUCAGACAGAAGCUAUGUGGAACGUAAAUUUUGCUUCUUUAAACAGAAAGUUAUAUAUUAGUUUGAUUUUAAAGGGAGGUUAUUGGGAAGUUAAAAUUGGCAGUUGUGGGAAAAGGGUAAUAGCAGUUAUAAAAUCUCUUUUAAAGCAAAUUCAAAUCAAGUUUCAAAUUUUAGGAGUACUUAAUUCAAUAAAAUAAGGAAUAAAUAAAGCUUUCAUUGAAACAAAACUAAGUAAAUUCAUUUAAAGCAAAAAAGGAUGGGAACAUUACAUAAGGGUUCUUAUGUUUACCCGCAGUCAGACAUCUGGGAUCUUGUUAUUUGGAGACAGGACUUGAUUGUGCCAUGUUUUCCGCAGCUAGACAUCUGUGGAUAAGAGAACCCUAAGCCUAUUGAGAAUAAAUUCCGUAAUCCAAGACUCUUCAGUUCUUUAAUUUUUGGCUAAUUAGUUAUAAAAUUUGUGAAUUUCAUGCUCCAUGCCCCUUGCAAAAUGUAUUUUAUAUCCUUAAGUUGCCAGUUGUUGAACUGAAAUAAUAAAAAAUGGAAAACAGACUUAAUGCCGAUAGCAUUUCUUAAGAAAAACUUGGGAUGUUUAUAAUUUUCUUAGAGCAUUUGCUGAACUUUCUGUGAUCGCAGUCGAGACAGGUCACCUCUACUUCCCUCAUUGCUCAGAAGUGGUUGUUGAGUUUAUUGAUUGCUAUCAUUGCUCAGAAGUGGUUGAUGAGUUUUUGUAUUGUGAUUGGUCCGAUGCUUCCCUCCUAGAAAAGGGUACUCCUGAAGAGCAGAUACUCAGAAGGGCAUACUUCAUGAAACUUAAAGAAGACAUGCAGGAGGCACUCUGCAAGGACGUGGCUUAUCACCGUCAUUCAGGGCUGCCAUCAUCCUGGUCGGCAUUUUACAAGUACUUGGUGGCUGAGAGCAAUCGUUCAGGUAUGUCGAUUGGUAUAUUUGGCACCUGGGAAACUAAAAGAAUUUAGUGAGCUCGAUUGGUAUUUGUAGUUCUUUUUCCUCUAGUGAUCUGGCAUGUAUCAAUUAGUUAAAUUAUUGUAUUUUCUCAUGUCCAGUGGGACACGCAAACGUUAGUAUGGAUCAAAAACUCAUUUCAUAUAAUAUUUUUUUGUAAAAUUAUAUAAUUUACAGGCUAUGCUCAAAAAAUUAGAGAAAAAGAAUUGUAUUACAAUUGGUAUGAGGCAUGCAUGUGUAUAUCAAUAUCAGCUGCUGAACAAACUUUGCCUUUUAAUUUUGUAGGCAUUACUAUCUCAAAUUUUCUAUUAUCAUAAAUGAGUUUUUUUUUUCUUUUUUUUAAGAAAAUCAUAAAUGAGAUUAAGAUAAUCUUUUUUUUAAAAAAAAAAAAAAGAAAACUGGAGAUUUUUUUUUCCUUAAAAAAAUGAAGAAAAGUUUAGAAAGUAUUGAGAGAUGGAGAAAUAAAGCAAUUAUAUUCAUAAAUAUAAUGUGUUUGGUGCAGUAACAGAAACUAAUAAAUUAUAAUUUAUGAGAUUAGUUUACAGACUCUUACAUAUGAAAUUAUAUCCCCUAAUUAAAAAUCUUCACACCUCUUUUUGCUUCUCAUUUAGAUGCCCUUUCUAGAACUUCUCCAACGGUAAACACAUUUUUAUUAAACAAAACAGAAAAAAUUAUAUAUAAUUGUUCAUAAGGACCAUUUCUUUUGUACAUAAUACAUAAUUGGCCAUUAAAGUUAUUUGAGAAGAAAAUUUACAUGAGAUGGGUACAUCACAUUAUCAGUAUUUUUGUCUAAUUUUGAACAUACGUUCCUUGUACGAAUUUUCCUAGAAUGGUCUCUCAUAAAUUUUUCUCCAAUUUGAGAGAUAGUGGGAAUUGGGUUAAAGUGCAUUUACAUAGAAUUAAUUUAAAAUAAAAUUUAUUUUUUAACUAUUUUAACUAAAAGUAGCACUACAAGAAAAAAGGCCUACAAUGACAGUCCCUUGUGUGACAGUUUUUUAUCUGGAGACCUACAAUGAUGGAUUUGUGUUAAAUUUUAUUUUUAUCAUGCAAUUAUGACAUAAUUGUGAUAUAAAUUUCGUCUAUCAAAAACUUAGGAUAGACUCAUGAUAGAUUUUUUAACUAUCAAGAAUUUAUGACUCAUAUUUAAUUUUGACUUCAGUUAUUCGGGUUUGACUGUAUUUUUUAAAAUUAUUUUAUUACAAAAAAUUACUAUUAAAAGGAAACGCAGUCGUUUCUUUUGCAAGCAAAACGACAACGUCUUUUUGGCAAGCAAAACGACAACGUCUCUUUGUCGAAUAUAAACUUGAUAAUUCUGAAUAAAAGUUGUGACUUUUGGGGGAAAAAAAACAUAAAAUGCAGAGUUUUAAAGAGAUAACUCAUUUUAAGUGUGAGAAAUUCACUCUCACACUCAAAACACACAAAAGACUUCGACAAAUUAAGAGAAAAUGAAGAAACCCACGACAAACCCACAACAAACCAUAAUCAUUCGAAGUCAUUCUCAUUGCCUACCAUUCUCGCCGCUAUUUUCGAUGUCGUUCGUCUGCCAUUCUCACUCAUUCGUCGUUCGAGCUCUGCCGAAACCUGCUUUUGUCAAAGAUUUCACCCUUUCGUUUGAACGCAAUUUCUACUCUGUGCUAGAGAUAUUUGAAGUCCCAGCUUCUGCCAUUGUCAUUGCUUCUGCUUCGGAUUUGUUGAUAAACCCUAACAAUUUCUAUUGUACCUAUCUAUUUCGCCAGCAAAGCCCUAACUGAAGAACUGAUUUCUUUGCACUGUGAAAUCAUCAGUUCAUUGGUAUGAAAUUCAUCAUUACCUUUAAUUUUUGUUUAUUUUUGUUGAUUUUCUGUGUUUGUAUGUUUGUAUAAAAAUGAGACUUCGAAAAAUAUUUUCAAUUUAGGAGCAUUUGUUGGGGACUUGACUUUUGAGGAAGAUACGAGUAAAUAUGUGGAAGUAUUUGUUUAAUUACUUUGAGGUCUGAUCUCUAUUGGACAUUUAGAAUAAAGAUCAAGAAAUUUAUGCCAUUUUUAAGAAAGAGUUGAUUCUUGAUAAACCAGAUUCUUGUUCUUUUUAGAAGGUUAUUUUGUGAAUUCAAUUUGUUUUUAAUUGAAUCUGUUGUUGUUUUUGGUAGCGAUGAUAUAUGGUUUGAAGAACUUAAGGAAGAGCUUGAAGAAUGCAAGAACCAUGAAGUAAGCAGAAGCUUUAAUAUUUGUUCUUUUUAUGCUAAUAUGUAGCCAAUCUUUUAGUGAUUAUAUGUUUAGUUGUUAGUUUAACCACUCAGGCAUGGUGCUACUUUUAACAUUGAUUCAUUCUUUGGGAAAUAAUCAGUUGAGAGAUUGACAUAAAGUACAAGCUUAAGAAUUCAAUUGUUGUUGUUGAUCGGUGCAUUCUUUGAACUGAAAAUUUGAAAACUUGUAAGUGAUUAGGUAGCUGUUUGUUGGAUGUUGAUUAGACCUGUAAGUGUAUAAUACUUCUUGAGCUUACAUUAAUGCAAGUUAUUCAGAUUUCUGGGUUUAGAAAUUAACUUGUUAAAUGGUUGAUGCACAAAUCAGAUGAUUACAUUAUCCAGUUCAAUUUUUUUUUUUUUUGAUAAUACAUUUAUCCAUCAAAUAGAAAGGAAUGAAAAGUGAGUUUAGAGAGUACCACUUGUCAUUGUCUUGUAGUUUGAUGUAGAAUGUGCAUAAGCUAACUGUAACAUCCCAUAUUCCUUUAACUGUGAUUUUAUUAACUCUUAAGUUUAAGCCCAAUAUUAUAUAUUUAGCCAUUUUUAAAAGCCUAUUUUCUCUAUUACUUAACUAAAUAGCUUAAACAAUAUAUUUGCUUGUCAUUCUCAUGUGUAAGAAAUGGAGGCAAAAGACAUUGCCAUUAUCCACCAUUUGAGAAAAAGAAACAGAACCUGAUACAAAGUUUAAAAACUUUUCUGAUUUCACCAAUUGAGCUUCAAUUUCUUUAGUUUCAGUGUCAAUUUGAAACAUAUCUUGCCAAGGCUUUAGAACCAUUCUUGCAUGUUAAAUUAUCCAAGCUUGGCAGCCUCAAAUCCAUCAAAAUUAUAAGUCUACCUUAAAUUGCUUUAUAUGUAUGUUAAUUUACUCUCCUUUCUAUAGUUGGUGUAAGUUUGAAGCCAUUGUGAGCUAUUCUUAUGCUAUCUCAGAACUCUUGACUCACCAUUGUAGUCCAACCACUGAUUUUUCUCCUUUUAUGAUUUAGGGAGAGUAGAACUGGUGUGGGGGAUAAAAAUCUUGUUGUUUUGAGUAGUCUUUUUGGCAGAAGACAAUGGGCUUCCUUUUGUUUUUAGGUAAAACCCCUCGAUUUCUCAAUAACUUCUUAUGACUUUGUUUAAUGGUAGUGUGAUUGAUUAUUAUUUCUUUGAUCUUUUAUGUUUUGAGUAGUCUUUUUGUCAAUUCCAAGGUUGAGGUUAAUACUUGAGAAGGUGGCAGAAAGCUUUAACAGGCUACAAAGUUAAAGCUUGUGAUUUAGGUAGGUAACUUUGGGCAACUAAUGUUCUGGUUUUGUAGUUCACUUACAUAGUGCAUAGAUACUUUUUUACAAUUCAAUUGAAAGACAACAUAUUCUAAUGAUGAAUUAGAUGAAGUUCGUAUUGAGUGGGCAAACCAUGUUUCUGAAUUACUUGCUACUAUGUGAGGUAAGCCUUACCUAUUAUGUUGUUAUAGUGAGUUCAUUGAUGAAACAAAUUAAUUUACCAAACUUUUGUUCAUUGAAAACAAACUUUGCUAGCUAUUAUUCUAUUGCUUAGUAUUCUAAUCUAUAUGAGUUGUCACGGACUUUGAAUUUGUUAUAUUUUACUUGUGCAGUUACCUAGCUUCUUACACUUGCUAUGUUGGAAUUUGAUGAAGAUGGCGGGUACUGCUGGAGUUCGCUACCUUUUUUAUUUGAUGCAAAAACAGGUCCUGAAUAUUGAGGCAACUUUGCACAUUUAGCUUCUUCUUAUAUUGGUAUUUGUUGUAUGCUUCACCAAAACUGUUAGAAUGGAUUUUCUUAGUCUGAUCAGUGUUGUUGGCUUCAUCUUGUGUUGCUGGAAAUGAACUGUGUUCUUGGCUUUCUUUGUGUUGCUCUAAAUGACUAUGUUGUUGGCUUCCUUUUGUUGCUGGAAAUGAACCGAUCAUGGUACAUUAGUCUUGUACAUGUUGCAGGAAUUUGUUUUUAUGUUGUUACAAUACUCUUCUAUUUAUGUUGGACUUGUCACUUGUAUUUGGAUAAAUUAUGUUUGUUCACAAUUAUCAAUAAUUAGCCAAUGUUAUUUAUUUUGUUUUCUUUGUCAAUGAAUUUUUAAUUGCAAUUAAUUUUAAUAAUCUAAUUAAUUAGCUAAAUUAUGAAAUAUUAAUUUCUAAAUCAAUUGUAGGAUUUUUAUUAAAAUGAUAAUAAUUUCAUGGUACAAACAAAAUAGUUAUUUUUAUUAAUUAUAAUUUCAAAUUUCCAAUUAAUUGAAAAAAAUCAAUUAAUUAUAAUUUCCAUUUUCACUGCAAAUUGAACAUUUCCUGCCAAAAUUUAAAAAAUAGCGUGCGAAAUUCAAAAAAGGCAACCCAAAUUCAAAAUUAUUAUAUUUCCCUCUAAUUAAAGUUAUGAUGGUUGUGUGACUGACUAUAUUCAUCAUAGGUUAUGAUUGGUAUUAUUCUGUCAUCAAUUCUUGACGCUGGCUAUAAUGACGGUAUGAACAACUGUCAUCCACCCCCUACUAUGACAAUUUUUGCCUGUCAUCGUAGGUACUUUUUCUUGUAGUGUAGCAGUUAUUCUUUUUAUUAGUGUUAUUCCAAUUAUAUCAAAAUCAAGUGACUGGUGAUCAAAUUAAGUAGUUCAUUAAUUUUUUUAAGCGACGUAUGGUAUGGAGUUUUUAUAAAUCUAUUUAAAUAGUAUAAUAUUUAAUUUUGCUUGUCCUAAAAUUUUAGUUUACGUGGGUUAAAAAAGAAAAAAAGAAAAAAGAAAUUGACUUAUUAAUUAAUUAACAAUUAUACAAAGAAUAAAUAGAAAGUUAUAGUUGGCAAUGGCAUUAUUUUUCUCCUUGUUAAGUUUUUCUUUCCCACAUUAUCCCCCUUGAAGCAGCAUAUUGAAGGAAAGGAGCAUUCUUAUAUAUGCUUUAUGAUGUUCUUAAUGUAUUCUAACUCAAAACUCUAUCUAUCCGUGCAGCGUCGCCUUCUGAACUUUGUUGAGAAGGCCCUUGUGGAAGAUGAAAUUCCAAUUCUUGUGGCUGCCUUCCAUUGCCAACUCAACCCGCUCCGCUCUCACCGUGUCCAGAGAGUAGUAAGGUCAAAUCUUGAUGAUGUCUGUCUCCUGAAAGAGCUUCCUGAUGAAGUUUCAUGUGAAAUCAAGUCACUCAGUGUCAAAUCUAGCCAGGAGUGUGAAGCUAAUAUAGCAGAAGUGGAUCCUAUGCAUGCAAAAAAGAGUCAGAAGAAUCCACAAGGCACUGGACUCUGAUGACGUUGAACUGUUGAAGCUUCUUCUGGAUGAAUCUAAUGUCACUUUAGAUGAUGCCUACGCUCUGCACUAUGCUGCUGCCUACUGAAACCCUAAGGUUUUUAAGGAAGUGCUCAAUAUGGGCUUGGCUGAUCUCAAUCUUAAGGAUGCAAGAGGUCAUACGGUGCUUCAUGUGGCUGCAAGGCGUAAGGAGCCAGCAGUGCUGGUGACUCUGCUAAGCAAGGGAGCAUGCGCCUCAGAAACUACAUCAGAUGGGCAAACAGCUGUAGCAAUCUGUCGGAGAAUGACAAGGCGAAAGGAUUAUAUUGAAGCUACAAAGCAGAGGCAGGAAACUAACAAAGACCGGUUAUGCAUUGAUGUCCUUGAGAGAGAAAUGAGAAGGAACUCCAUGUCUUGGAACGUGGCACUGUCACCAGAGGUGAUGGCUGAUGAUUUCCAAAUGAAGCUGAACUAUCUAGAAAAUAGAGGUGAUAUUUCUUUACUGGUAUUAGUUCAUCACCUUCUCAGAGUUUCUGCAUAGCACACUUCUUUCUACCGUUUGUUUGUCCCUUCAUCUUAGCAUCUCCGACAUUGCUGUAAACGGGAUAACCACACAGUCUACACUUGUGCUAUCAUCAAAGAAUUUUUCUUGAACUGUUAUUUUUGUUAUUUGGAAGUGAAUAUUUUCAGCAACUAGAACUCGGAAGCAUCCGGAAUGAUCCAUUUUUUUUUUUUUUUAUGUCAAAACAUGAAGUAAUUAAAGGAGGUCAAACAACAAUAAACUCAUUCAUUUUGUCCAAAAUUGAAAAAGACUACAUAGUAAUCAUAAUUGAAAACAACUAAGCACAAAAACAAAUAACAUCCUUUUUCAAAAUUAUGUUCCCAUGAAUCUUGUCUCCACACAUUAAAGAAGACUAAAUCUAUAAUUAGGUGCUGAUUCACGCCCAAAAUUACCCUUCAACUCCUUAAGCAGAGGCAGCUGCUCCCUUCUUCCUUGGUGCUGCCUGAGUACCUUCUCUGAAGCCGCUCUUGAACCUGCGAGGGACAUGGCGCAGAUACCUCAUCCUGCCGGUUCCAGUGGUCUUUCUUCGGAUUGCCUUCACACUCCAGUUAUACGUUCUCUUGCGAGCAGCGGGGUAAGCACAAGCAGCGCAACGACUCUUCUGAAGAUGGAAGCUGCGACGGCCACAUCGCACACACAAAGUGUGCGUCUUGUUUCUCCUCUUACCAAAACUCCCUGUGCCCUUACCCAUUGAAGCGUAUGCGAAGUAGAGGAAAGCCUUCUGAUGAGUUCCGGAAUGAUCCAUUUUAUCAUUCUCAAUACCUAUAAAAGAAUGUCAUAGAAAACAGUUUCCAAAGCAAGUUGCAUGUGUUUUGAAUUUGUCUUUGGAAGCCACUAAUUGCUUGGAGCACACUGUUAGCCAGUCGUGAUUCCAUCCACUUUCUUGGAUGGACAAUUGUGCAUCCAUAUGAUCUAGGCAUGUUGGUUUGGACUGAACUAGUUUUAAUAAAUAAUUGCCUUCAGGAUUUAGUCUGUGUGUUACAGUCCAGUCUUUGUUGUGAAUAGUUCUUUUUUCCCCCUCCCGAGGAAAGAAUUGAGAUAAAAAAUAAUUUAUUCCUGCCACGGAUGAGUGCCAUAACAGCUUCUUAAUGCUUUGCGGUGGCUUUUGCGCGGUUGUUGUUGCCUUCUGAAGCUAGAGUAGCUAUGGCUAUAGCAGAUGCAGAUGCCACCAAUUUUUAUGAUGGCCUUUCAGCAUCAAAAUCAAAAGGAUCAAUUGGGAACUUAAAGGAGGUUGAUUUGAAUGAAACACCCUCCAUGCAAGCCAAGAGACUCCAAUUAAGACUGCAAGCUUUGCUUAAAACAGGUAUUUAUAUACCUUAUUAGUUUUUGUAUGUUUAUAAUUACUGAUUUUUAUAUCAAAAGAGAGAGGUUAAUUUUUAGUACAUUGAUAUCUCAACAAAAUGGUAGAUCCUUUAUACCACUAAAGACAUUUUCUUAGUGCACUUACCGAGCUUUCUAUGAUUGCAGUUGAGACGGGCCGACGCUACUUCCCUCAUUGCUCAGAAGUGGUUGAUAAGUUUUUGGACUGUGAUUGGUCUGAUGCUUCCCUCCUAGAAAAUGGUGCUCCUGAAGAGCAGAGACUCAAAAGGGCACGCUUCAUGGAACUUAAAGAAGACGUACAGAAGGCAUUUUACAAGGACGUGGCUGAGAAAAAUCGUUUAGGUUUGUCGUCAUCCUCGUCGUCGUCAUCUUCUCCAAAGGAAGGAGUAAAGUGUAAGGGUAGGAAAAGGUGAUGCUUAGUUACUUGUCUUUUGUUAUUCAUUGCUAGGAGACUAAGAGAGUUUUACUGAGUUUGAUUGUUACUUGUAGAGAGAUACUCUUAGAGCCCAUGUUAUGGCUAUGUUGUAUAAUAGCAGAGGAACUUCAAGCUUGCAUUGUUGUAUUUUCCCACGUAUUUGGCAUGUAAUAUACUAAAUGACAAAGAAUUUUCUAAUUUUAGAGGGAAAAAAUAUGUCAGUUAAUUAUUUUUUUAUUUUAUCUGUUUAAUUCAGUUUAUAAUAUAGCUUUUUUUUAUAUAAAAAAAAAUCUCCAUAUCUUCAUCUGCAAACUCAGUCAUGUGCAACUUCUUUCAGGGAGAAAAGAGGGGGAAAAAAAAAGGGCAUUUGUACCUGUAUUUUACGGUACUGACCCUCAUACAGAAAUUGGUUAAGAUGACAUUAAUGCUCUUCGAAAUAAAUAGAUAUGCAGAAUUUUCAUCGAAAUUGAAAUUAGAAAUGGAUGGAUACGAAUGAUAUAUAUGCAGAACUUUUUAACAGAAUUUUUAUGCAAAAAUUUGUAGCUAAUUACUCCCCCGAAGAAAAAUAAAUUUUCAAUUGUAGAUAUUAAAUUUUAAAUUUAUAAUAUAAUAAAUGUGACUUAAGUUGCACAGCACCCAUAUAAUAAUAAUAAUUAAGAAAAGAAAAUUUAAAUUUUGUAAAUUAUCAAUUUUUUAAAAUUAAUUAUUUUUAUACUCAAAUUCUCAUGCUCGACGGCCGCUGGAAUUGGCUAUUGUAAUUUUGUCAUCCUCAUUAUUCACUAGCCAUUUUUGGACCACGACAUAAUAGAAAUAGCAUAGAUUAUACUAAUAAAUUUCCUUUAAUUAUUUUGUAGUGUGAUGAUCUAGUGAGUACCAGUGUCCAUCAUAGCACCUGAACAUGUAAAUUUCUGAUAUUUUCUGUAAAAUAGUACUUAAAUUGUGUAUUAACUAGACAGUUCUAUGUAGACCACAACUCAUUAAAUCAUUACUUUACUUUGUAUAUAUUUAUGACAAUUGAUGAAGAAAAAUAUAAAGUGAGAUUAAUGAACAUUCAUGAAUGUGGGAAAUUAACACAACUAGGAUUUAUGAUGAAAUAAUUUUAUUUCAAAUGAGUUUAAGUGAAUGGAUGUUAAAAAAACUUAUAGUAUAUAUUUUUUGAAUUGUUAUAUAUACAAGUUUGUCACUAACAGUAAAUUAAAUUAAGAAUAUUUUAAUAAUUCAAAAUCUCAUUCAACCAUCCCUGUUUAUAGUUUUAUUCGGAGUACAAAAUUGUAAACAGCCUCACCCUUAAUAGUAUAAUGCUAAACACUUUUAAAAAUUUAUUCUAUUAUAGUCGUCUUAGUCAGUUAUAUUUAUUUCCAAAUUGAAGAUAGAAAUAGUACUUUAUAUAUCGUACAUUACUUAAAGAAUUUUUUUAAAAAUCAAAUUAUGAGCUAGUGAAAGGAUGCAAUAAAUCACGUCUAAAAUUGUAAAAUUCAUCAAUCACCGAAUAAAUUAAAUAUCAUGUCUCAUGGGCUUAAAAGAUAGGCUUUUGAAUGAUAUAUCGUACUCAAAAAUCUAUUUUUAAUUAAUUAUUAUACGAACGUUUAAAUGUGUCUCUAAGCUAUAUUAUAUAGUUGCUAAUUACUAUUAAGCUUACACUUCUUCCUUCUAAAAAAAGCAUCUUUUGGCUUCUCAGAUCGCGAUUCAAGCUUCAGUUAUAAGCAUUUCGUUUCGAUUGAUAUUGUUGAUGCGAGAUUCUGGCUCUCUGCUCGACCACGACCAGGAUCUCUCCUCAACUAAACGGACCACGACCAGGGUCUUUCCUCGUAACACUUCUUCUCCACAAACUCCUGUGUACACAGAAACAAGUCAGAGCACGCCGGGUGUUUUUCCGGCGUAAACCCUCCGACGCUCAAGUCAGGAAUGUAGGCUUUGCCUUUCUGGGAAAAACGGCCACUAAUCUUAUGGCUCUUUUCUUAGAUCUAUCAAUCGAAAAUUCUCUUUCUCUCCUUUUUUUUCUCAAAAAGUCUAACCCUUUUACCUUCGUUGGCUACCUUUUUAUAGGCUUCUCCUGAGUUCAGACCUUCCCUCAAUUCACGCCCGUUACCUUCCCACCUCUCGGAAGUGGAUGCAUCGUUUCUGUAAUCGUGGGUGGUUGCAUGGCCUUCGUGCCUUGAUUCUCGGGUUGGAGAGCACGUCUCGCCAACUGUCGUUGACCGGGUCUCCUCGCCUCAACCCUUAGCAGGAAUGGCUUUACGCUUCUAAUAGGAGACCGGCCUCGCAGAUGGUGUAUUCACGGACGAGCAGUAUAUUCCUGCUCCUGUUCCCCUACUACCAGACUUCUACAAAAUAUACCUGUUCGUGGAACCCUGCUACCAAAUAUCUGCUCAUCAUGGCUGGUCUUGUCAAAGUACAUCCCCCAAACACCGAUCCCCCAGUUUCUGGUGUUGGGUAACAUAGUGAGCCGACAGUAGAAACUCGACAGUUCUGGCUCGCGCGGGAUAGGAAAAGACUGCCAAGAGUCGUGUCGCAUUUAAUUGCGGAUGAGGUGAUGUGGCAGAAAUCUACCCCUCUAUUUGAAUUUCAAACCGAUGGUUACGAAACUCUUGGGAUUUGUGCCGUUAAAUGCUGGCAGCCCAAGAGUUUGUUCCUCAUUAGGAAAACCCAAAACCCCCAAAAGAGAAACUUGUCAUUUACUCUGUUUCUGUCUCUCCGGCGAACGAGUCCUUCCUCUCCCUCGGCGUAAAAGCUUCCAUCCUUGUCUCUCUCCGACUAAGUCACAACUUCAGGUAUUAUUUCUAUUUCCUCGGUCUUGGAUAGUUGUAGACAAUUUCCUUUCUCUCUGUUUUGUUUGGGUAGUGCUUGGUGAUGCUGCUCUGGUUAUAGUUUAAGGAAUGUCAAAAGGUAAAGAGAAAGUCGUUGAGAUUGAUGACGACGAACUAGACUUCUUGCCUAGUCUGCUCGCCGAUUCUGCCUUUGACCCCGGGAUCCCCUUAGAACCCAUUAGAUCUAGUGUUGGGGCUAGUGCUAGGAAGAUGUCCCCCCCAAUAACCUCCUCAAGCGGCAAUAGCGGCGACGAGGGGUCUUCUGGUUCGGAAGACACUCUGAGUAAGGAUCAGGGAGAUGAUUAUGGUGGAAUGUCCUCACCAGGAAUAUCGCGACCACAUAGGAGGGUCACAGUAGGAGGUAGAGCUUUAUCAAAGCAUUACGCUAUUGAUUUCAUCACGUGCACGACCACAGUAGAGGAGCUCACUAACCUCCGGGUUAGGUAUGAAAUUCCUGAUGAUAUUCCUCUUAGGAUCCCAGGAAAGAAGGAUACUCCUAGUCGGCCUCAUAGGGGAUAUGUUACUCUAUUUUUGGAGAGUUUUAAACUUGGGUUGAGGUACCCCCUGCAACCCUAUUUUGCCCGAAUACUUAAUGGGUUAAAUUUAGCUCCUGGUCAGCUGAACCCCAACGGGUGGAGAGUACUCUCUGGUCUGUUCAUAUUGUGGGAUAGAUGUUGCCAAAGCGAGCCCACAGUUGAUGAGGUGAAGCACCUGUAUCAGCUAAAGAGCUGCCCCAAAGACGCCGGCUGGUAUUACUUCCAAUCAAGUACCAAGACCAGGAAACCCAUAAUUGAUCUUCCAACUGGUGGUGGUGGGAAUUGGAAGAAAAAUUUCUUUUUUGCUGGGGGUCCCUGGGGUCAAGUUGCACAGAUUGAUGGGAAGGAUUAUCGCGUCCCACCCCGUUUCGUGGUCCCAGGUUGCCUGCUCGCUUUAGAUGUCUUGUCUCCAUAGUUGUUCUCACUUUGUUGAUUUGUCUCUAACCCAAUAUUUGUUCGCAUUGCAGGUUCUUGGGGUGUGCAUUACCCUCUUAAACCUGAGCAGCUCAAGCGGGUCGAGGCUGUACUGGCCAAUUCCUGUUCGAACCGAGAGCUGCUAACUACUUACAACUUGGUCGAAUCUCGUUUGGUGUCCACCGGCUAUAAGAUGUAGGAUGCUGUGAUCGGGGCUUUGAAUCGGAAACGUCCUCGACCUCAUGCUGCCAAGCAGGACCAGAAUAAAGAUGCUCCUUUUGCGAAGCGGGUGAACAUUGUUCAGUAGGUUCCCCCCCUGGAGACUCUACCUCCUCCUCCUGCCAAAGCUGGAGAAACUAGUGGAGCAGCCACUUCUUCUCCCCCAGCUGGGUCGAAACCCCGUUUGCCCGACAAUCGAGCGGAGCAUCUGGCCCCCUACAUCAGUGAGUUUUCUAAGCUCAUGAGCAAGAGAGACUUGGAGGAUUUUGACGGCAGCACUCCGGGUGAGCUGGUGGGGGCUAUGCAGUAUAAUGCUUUCCACCUCGGCUGCAUGUCCACCUACUAUAAGGCGAAGGUCGGCCGCUAUGAACAGAAGAUGAAAGAGGACAUUCAAUCGGCAAAAACCAAAGCAGGAGACCUAAAUCUCGAGAAUCUAAAGUUGAUAGAGUGAGAAUCUCUCGCUCAAGCCAAGGCCAUCACUCUUGAGGAAGAGCUGACUAAGGUCAAGGAGGAUCUGCAGGGGCAGAAGGCCACCUAUGAGGCUCAGCUCGAAUCCCUCAAGGACUCUCACCAGGCUCAGGUCGAGAACCUAGAGAAGGAAGCUGACAACCAAUAUGACCAGGGUCUGCGGCAUUCUUAUCGCUGCAUCAUAGCUGUUUUAGGGAAGCAGCAUCCUGAUCUGAAGAUGGAUGACCUUACUGCUGGUGUUGCUCAACACAUGGACGAGGAGGCAGCAAAAGAGGAUGUCGAAGAGGUGGAGCCAAAUGCGGUUGAGGAGGGAAAUUAUCCUCCUCAUUCAGUCCUUGCUGAUGUUGCUGAGGCGAGUACCCCCCGGAUGCAACUAGUGGUACCCCCCUCCAUUUGAGGUGGACCAGCCAACCGAGAAUGCUCGGCUUACUGACCCGCCGUCCUCUUGAAUGUAUCUUGUGUUGUAGCUGUUUUUUUUUUUUUUUUGGAACACUGUAUGUUAUGAGUAGCAGCUUUUCAUGAUUAUUGAUAAAUUAAUAAGAAUGUUCUUAUUUGCUUUCUCGUGCUGUAGUUGCAAAUUAUUUUACGUUUGAGGGUCUACUCGCCUUCACCGGGUCAAGCAAAUCCUGGCACGCUUGGCUUCUGGUGUCGCCAUAAGACAGGCUUUGAGACUUGGUGAGCCUUUGCAUACCUUAGAAAUUUUUAUAACGCUUGGGAGUCUGCUUGCCUUCGCUUGGUCGAGCAGAUCCCGGCACGCUUGGCUUCUGGUCUCGCCAUAAGACAUGCUUUGAGACUUGGUGAGCCUUUGCAUGCCUUAGAAACUUUUUUAUCGCGUCUGGGAGUUUGCUCGCCUUCGCUUGGUCGAGCAGAUCCUGGCACGCUUGGCUUCUGGUCUCGCCAUAAGACAGGCUUUGAGACUUAGCCUUUGCAUGCCUUAGAAACUUUAUAACAUUACACUGACUGAAAUUCAUCAUGGUUUCAUUGAUUAUUGAAUUCGGCUUACACGAGGUUGAUUUAACAUAAAACGAAUAACAACAAAAGCGAACAGAAAUAACUUUAAAUCAGGAACGAGUCUUACUGGAAUUUCCUGAGGUGUGCUGCGUUCCAGGGGCGUUUCACCUCGUGACCAUCCGCACGAACAAGCUUGUAGGCUCCGGGUCCAGCUACCUGCUUGACCCUGUAUGGCCCCUCCCAGUUUGGUCCAAGUACUCCUUGAGUCGAGUCUUUCGUGUUCUGAUUCACCCUCCUUAAAACCCAAUCUCCGACCUUGAACUGCCGUACAUUCACCUUCUGGUUGUAAUAUCGGGCAACCCUCUGCUGGUAGAUGGCUGAUCGUUUCGAUGCUUGCUCCCUCUUCUCGGUUAGCAAAUCCAGAUUCAAGCACAUCUGGUCGUUGUUCUCCUGCUCAUCGAAGUGAUCUGUCCGGUGCGUGCUCGUCCCUAUCUCAACUGGUAUAACUGCUUCAUGUCCGAAGGCCAAGGCGAAUGGAGUUUCGCCAGUUGUUGUUUUGUGGGUUGUCCUGUAUGCCCAUAAUACACAUGAUAACUCAUCAACCCAUGUACCCUUUUUUGCUCCAAGCCUGGUUUUCAACAGCCUCUUGAUUAUCUUGUUGGCUGCUUCUACUUGCCCGUUAGACUGAGGAUGAGCAGGCGAGCAAUACUUAAACUCUAUCCUGAGGUUCUGGCAGAAGUCCCUGAAGUUCUGGUUAUCAAACUGCCUGCCAUUAUCUGUUAUCAAAGCAUAAGGGAUCCCGUACCGGCAGACCAGGUUUCUCUAUACGAAGUCAGUUGUCUUUUUCUCUGUGAUCCUGCUAAGGACUUCUACCUCUACCCACUUCGUGAAAUAGUCUAUUGCUACUAUUGCAUGUGUUGCUGCUCCUCGUCCCUUUGGCAAUGGCCCAAUCAAAUCAAUUCCCCAUUGAGCAAAUGGCCAUGGGGAAGCCAUAGAAGUGAGCUUCUCUGGUGGUUGGGUAGAGAAAUUUACAAAACUCUGGCAACUUACGCAGCUCCUGGUCUUCUCAUGCACGUCCUGGUGCAUUGUCGGCCAGAAAUAUCCCUGCCUUAGGACCUUGUGGGCAAGGGAUCUUGCACCAGAAUGGUUUCCGCAAACUCCUUCAUGUACUUCUCUCAGCAUGUAAUCUGCGUCGUCCUCGUCUAAACACCGAAGGAACGGUAAGGUAUAUCCCCUCCGAUAUAAUACCCCAUCAAUCAUUGUAUACCUCGACGCUUGGGCUCUAGUCUUCCGAGCUCGUAACUUAUCUGGUGGCAGUACCCCAUUCCGGAUGUACGAGAUUAUCGGGUCCAUCCACGAGCAUUUCUGCUCUAUCUGUAGCACCUCCAGAUUCUGCUCGAUGUUGGGGCUGGACUUCACCUCCAGAGGGACUGACUUUGGCAUUUUCGGAUCUGCUACCGCUGCCAUCCUGGCCAGAAUAUCUGCUCGACUAUUCUCUUCCCUUGGGAUUUGUAUCACCUCAACCGCUUCAAACUUCCCAAUCAUCUGCUUGACUUUCUUCAGGUACUGCUCUAUCGUCCCAUCUCUUGGUUGAAAUCUUUCACUGACAUGAUUUGCAACCAGCUGAGAAUCAGUUCAGAUUUUCACCCUAUCCGCUUUCACUGCCUUAGCCAAUCCCAAGCCCGCUAUUAAAGCUUCAUAUUCUGCCUAGUUAUUUGUGGUUGUGAACUCUAACUUUACAGCAUCAGAGAUUUCCUCCCCUUCUAGGCCUUCCAAAACAAUCCCUGCUCCAGACCCCUGCUCCCCUGAUGAUCCAUCUACAUACAUCUGCCAUACUCGAGUUUCGUUGUUGGCUGUAGCAGUAUCCAGCUGGUCGAAACAUACUUCGGGCUCUGCGAAUUCUGCCACGAAAUCAGCCAUUGCUUGGGCCUUUAUUGCUGCUCGGGGUUUGUAAUCUAUGUCGAACUCACUCAACUCUAUGGCCCACUUCACGAGCCGACCAGAAGCAUCCGGCUUGUGUAGAGUCUGCCGCAAUGGUUGGUUUGUUAUUACCGAGACGGGGAAUGCCUGAAAGUAUGACCUCAGCUUUCGAGCAGCAACCACAAGGGCGAGUGCCCAUUUCUCCAACGGUGGGUAUCUGGUUUCGGCAUCGAGCAAAGCCUUGCUGGUGUAGUAUAUCGGAUACUGAACCCCUUCUUCCUCUCUUACUAGAACAGAACUUGUGGCAUGAUCCAAUACUGCCACAUACAGGAACAGCACGUCCCCAUCUCGCGGCGUGGACAACAGAGGUGCUUGCUGCAAAUAUUGCUUCAAAUUCUGGAAGGCUUUUUCGCAUUCUGGGGUCCAUUCUGUUUUCUUUCCUCUCCUUAUCACUUGAAAGAAUGGCUGGCACUUAUCUGUUGCCUUGGAUAUGAAUCGGCUCAAUGCUGCCAACCUCCCUGUAAGGCUCUGCGUCUCCUUCAGGUUAUGAGGAGACCCCAUAUGCACGAUCGCCUGAAUCUUCUCAGGAUUCGCCUCGAUCCCCCUAUGACUCACCAUGAAUCCGAGGAAUUUGCCCGACUCGACCCCAAAAGCACACUUCUCCGAGUUGAGCUUCAUCUUAUACUUCCUCAGAAGUCCAAAUGUCUCCUCGAGGUGCUCGACAUGUUCCUUCGGGAUUUUUGACUUGGUUAUCAUGUCGUCCACAUACACCUCCAUUGUUCUCCCAAUCAGCGGCUUAAAGAUUUUGUUCACCAGUCUCUGGUAUGUGGCCCCCGUAUUUUUAAGACCGAACGGCAUUACCCUGUAACAGAACAAACCCUGGUUAGUAAUAAAUGUCGUGCUCUCCUCAUCCUGCUCGAACAUGGGGAUUUGGUUGUAUCCCGAAAAUGCGUCCAUGAAGCUGAGCAGGUCAUGUUCGGCUGUUGAGUCUACAAGCUGGUCGAUCUUGGGUACGGGAAAGCUGUCUUUCGGGCACGCCUUAUUGAGAUCCGUGAAAUCUACACACAUCCUCCAUUUGCCAUUAGCAUUUUUCACUAACACCACGUUCGAUAUCCAUUCAGGAUAGUUAACUUCCCAAAUGAACCAUGCCUUCAAGAGCUUCUCCACCUCGCCAUUUAUAGCCUCAUACCUUUCCUGAUUGAAGUACCUUCUUUUCUGCCUUACUACCCGAGCACCUUUCUUUAUUGCCAGCCUAUGACAUGCGACCUCAGGGUCGAUUCCCGGCAUGUCCUCAUGCGUCCAAGCAAACACAUCUGCAUGAGCUCGUAGGCAUUGCACCAACUCCCGCUUCUGCUCUUCUUUAAGCCUCGACCCGAUUCAGAUCGUUUUUCCUGGAUCAUUUUGUUCCAGGCUUACUGUUUCCAGCUCCUCUACAGGUUCCUGUCUACCAUUCUUGGCUCCCACUCGUGUAUCAAGGGAUGUAAUAUGCAUUGCUUCCCUUGCUGCUGUGGAGUAACAGCUUCGGGCGAUCCUCUGAUCUCCUCGUACCACUCCAACUACCCCAUUCACUCGGUACUUGAGAGCUAGAUAAUUGUUGGAAAGUACCGCUGUGCUCAUACUCAGAAAGGGACGACCUAAGAUCAUCUGGUACGGACCCUCUUCAUCGACCACCACAAAAUCCAGUAUUAUGGUCUUUUCUGUCGGGGAAUUACCAAUUGUGAUGGGCAACUCGACCACGCCUAGGGGAACCAGCUUUCCUCCUCCAAAUCCCUUCAAGGAGGUAUUGGUAUGCUCCAACCUCAAGUCCGUUAUUCCCAUCUCCUCCAGAGUUGACUUGAACAAAACAUCGACCGAGCUUCCCGUGUCUACCAGAACUCGGUCAAACUUCUUGCUAGCAGCGGUGACUUUAAUAACUAAAGCAUCCUCAUGUGGAUAUAGAAUUCCCUCUUCAUCCUCAUUUGUCCACAUGAUUGGAACUUACCUGACUCUUGCUCGCUUAGCUGCUGGGGUGUUGAAAAAUACUUCUUUGCUAGUCAUGGCAUACUUGGCAUAAUUCUUCCUCGACCUGUUGGAAUCUCCUGCCAAUGUUGGGCCCCCAGCAAUCACUCUUAUUAUAGGCUGCUCGUGGUUCAAGUUCCUAUCUCUCUGCUCCCCUUCACCCGGCGAGGGCACCAUCGGGAAAGUCUCAUCAAUAAAUUCGUCCAUGUAUCGAUUUCUCACCAAAUCUUCAACCUAGGUCUUGAGAUCUCUGCAUUCUGUUGCGGUAUGGCUAUGAGUGCCAUAGAACUUGCAAUAGCGUCCCCUAUCCCUCCUGCUGGGUAGCUUUGUUAUUGGGGCAAGGAGGUACAGUAAUCUCUGGUCCUUUAUGGCCUCGUACACCUCAUCCAGCGGCAUCUUUAAGGAAGUAUACCGCCCAUAGUCCUGGUUAUGGUCGAUCAUGUGCACUGCCCUUUCCCCGUUUGUGUUGUUCUGAACUGGAGGAGGUGGCAGCGCUUCCGGCCUGCUUCCUCUACCACCAGGGGGGUGUGGUUGAGGAUGACUAUAUGUCGAGCCAUGCCUUCUCCAAAACUCCCUGGCUGGUGAACGAGGAGGUUGUGCCCUGCUGCGCUGAUACUGUGGUGGCCUCUGAUGAGGCUGGUAGGCGGUGACUCGACCUCCUAUACCACUGCCUGAGGCAUGUUGGUCCCUCCUCUUGAUCGGUCUAUUUCCUGGUAAGGCUCUCUUCUUUUUCAUUCUCAACCCUUCUAGCUGGUCUGUCUUGAUCUGUGCUGCCUUUUCCUCAUCAAUCUCUAUAUCCCUCUUAGCCUGCUCGUAAGCAGCUGCAUACGUUUGAAUAGCUGGGCUCCUCAAAUUGUACCACAGCCUUCCUAUCUUCACUCCUUCUUUCAAUCCCCUUAAUGUCUGAGGAUGGUUGAAGGCUCCCAAGUCGAGGACAGCGCGAUGGAACCUCUUGAUGAAUUCCCGAAGGGUUUCUUCCUCCCCCUACUUCAUGUUUUUCAACUCCAUCAUGUCAUCUUCCGGUGCCAUUGCCACACGAAACUGCUCUGCAAAUUCCUGGCACAUCUGCUCGAAAGAUUUAACGCUUCCUCGAGGAAGUUUUCGGUACCACUCACGUGCUCGUCCCUCUAGAGACAGCGGGAACAUCCUGCAUCUUUGAGCUUGGGAUAAUCCUUGCACCCCAGUUAUGUCGUUAAAGCGCUCUAUGUGCACCAACGGAUCGGUUCAUUCCGAGUACUUGAGGUCUGGGAGGCGAAAAUCCCUUGGAAUGACUGCUCUCAUGAUCUCUGCCGAGAGUGGGGAUUCUCCGUCCAGCAUUAUCCUCCAACCAGGUGCUCUGUUCCUUCCUUGCAUGUCAUCAAUUACCUGCACUAAUCUGCGCACUUCUUCCUCCAGCUGUACUGCAUGAUCAGGGUCACGUGCUGCAACUUGAUCCCGCUCUUGCUCUACAUCAUGUAGGUGUUGCCUGAGCUCUGUUUCCUAUGCAUUCUCCACCUCGUCGUCAUUAUCAAAAAUCUGCCUUCCUGGGGAUUGGUCUUCUCUUCUAUGGACUUCUCCCCGUAGAGAUGAGUUACCUCCCUCACCACCAAAUCUCCUGGUGGUCCGACUUCUCAUCAUAUUAUCGUGCCCUGGUGCCAUUCCGCCACUUCUCACCCUUUCCUCAUGGAUUCCCCUCCGUUCACUCCUCAGCUCAUGUAGGAUGGUGGUCAGGGUCUCCAUCUGCUUUUCCAUCUGUUUCAUCCGGUCAUACAUGAUUUUUUCCCGUGUUUCAUUGGCUAUCUCCCUCAACGUCACGGAUUCGUUAAGCCUCAUAUCACCUCCUUGUGCACUACUUCGUCCUACAUCUAUUGUUUCUUCACUUGCUGUAUUCCUCCUCUUUCUGUCAACAGAGCUUUUUUAUCAGCUCCCCACAGACGGCGCCAAAAUGUUGAUGCGAGAUUCUGGCUCUCUGCUCAACCACGACCAGGAUCUCUCCUCAACUAAACGGACCACGACCAGGGUCUUUCCUCGUAACACUUAUUCUCCACAAACUCCUGCGUACACAGAAACAAGUCAGAGCAUGCCGGGUGUUUUCCCGGCGUAAACCCUCCGACGCUCAAGUCAAGAAUGCAGGCUUUGCCUUUCUGGGAAAAACGUCCACUAAUCUUAUGGCUCUUUUCUUAGAUCUAUCAAUCGAAAAUUCUCUUUCUCUCUUUUUUUUCUCAAAAAGUCUAACCCUUUUACCUUCGUUGGCUACCUUUUUAUAGGCUUCUCCUGAGUUCAGACCUUCCCUCAAUUCACGCCCGUUACCUUCCCACCUCUCGGAAGUGGAUGCUCCGUUUCCGUAAUCGUGGGUGGUUGCAUGGCCUUCAUGCCUUGAUUCUCGGGUUGGAGAGCACGUCUCGCCAACUGUCGUUGACCGAGUCUCCUCGCCUCAACCCUUAGCAGGAAUGGCUUUACGCUUCUAAUAGGAGACCGGCCUCGCGGAUGGUGUAUUCGUGGACGAGCAGUAUAUUCCUGCUCCUGUUCCCCUGCGACCAGACUUCUACAAAAUAUACCUGUUUGUGGAACCAUGCUACCAGAUAUCUGCUCUUCAUGGCUGGUCUUGUCAAAGUACAUCCCCCAAACAGAUAUUAUUCUUUCUUGAUAGUAUCAUGGAAACUGCAAACGAAAAGUCAGCAUCUUUGAGUUUUCUUUCAUCAUAUCUGACUUGUUGGUCUACUAAUCAAUCAACAGGCCCUUCUGAUCUUGAUAAUUUGAACUUAAGGAGGGAAAGCAGCAAUCCUGAAGGGCCAUUGCUUGAUGCCGAGAUCAUUGUUGAGGGCAAAUCAGUGGCAGUUAAUCGCAGAAUAUUGUCAAAGUCUGCAAGCAAUCCGUUUUUCCGUCGGCUUUUUAAAUUGAGCAGUGAUGCUUCUGUGAGUGAGGGGAAACCCAAGUAUCUUAUGACUGAUUUGGUGCCUUAUGGGAAGGUUGGAUUUGAAGCUUUCAAUGAUAUCUUGCAUUGUCUUUACACUGGAAAGACAAAGGCAACUCCUCCAGAAAUGUCCACGUGUGUUGAUGAUGCUUGUGCUCAUGAUGCCUGCCCUCCUGCUAUUAAUUAUGUUAUUGAGUUAAUGUAUGCUUCUGCUGCUUUUCAGAUGACACAUCUCGUUUCGGUUUAUGAGGUAGUUGCGCUUCCUCGCUAUUUGUAUUGCUUAAAUUUAUGCUUGUUGGUAUAAUUUUAACAUUUAUAGAAUUGAAAUCAAUUUCAGUUGUGACUUGCAAAGAGCCAAAGAAUCGAAUCUAGUAAAUCCAAAAUUAUUUUGAAAGAGACAAAAAUUAUAUGGCAACUUCGGUGGUUCGCAAUAUUAGGCAUUGUAGUAUAUCCAAAAUUAGCUUGUUAACCUAGCAAAUCAUUAAUGUUGUAGAAUAACAUCUUGUGUAGGUGAGCUUAUGUCUCUGUUCAUUGGUCCACCGGCAUUUAGGUUCGAUAAGCAUGGCACUGAUUUUCCCCCUCAUUAUUAUUUUCAUGCACAAAUUAUCCCCAUUAAGUAUUUGAACUUUGAAUAUAUUAUUCUGAAUCAAAACUCUAUCUGUCCGUGUAGCAUUUUAUAUAUGCUUUUUGAUGUUUGCCAAUAAUUACCCACUAUGGGGUAUUUGAAUUUUGAAUAUAUUACACUGAAUAAAAACUUUGUCUGUCAAUCUUAAAGAUGCAAGAGGACGCACGGUGCUUCAUGUGGCUGCAAGGCGUAAUGAGCGAUCAGUUCUGGUGACUCUGCUGAGCAAGGGAGGAUGCGCAUCAGAAACUACAUCAGAUGGGCAAACAGCUGUAGCAAUCUGUCGGAGAAUGACAAGGUGAAAGGAUUAUAUUCAAGCUACAAAGCAGGGGCAGGAAACUAACAAAGAUUGGUUAUGCAUUGAUGUCCUUGAGAGAGAGAUGAGAAGGAACUCCACGUCUGGGAACUUGGCAAUGCCAGCACAGGUGAUGGAUGAUGUUUUCCAAAUGAAGCUGGACUAUCUGGAAAAUAUAGGUGAUAUUUCUUUACUGGUAUUAGUUCAUCACCUUCUCAGAGUUUGUUCAUAACACACUUCUUUCUACUGUUUGUUUGUCCCUUCAUCUGGAAAAUAGAGGUGAUAUUCUUUUACUAGUAUUAGUAAGUCAUCUUCUCAGAGUUUGUGAGUCCCUUCAUCUUGGCAUCUCAAACACACAUGGGCUUAUUGCUUGGAGGGCACUGUUGGCCAGUCAUGUGAUUUGAUCCCCUUUUUUGGAAUAGACAAUUCUGAAUCCAUCUGAUCUAAGCUUGGUGGUUUCCUCUGAACUGGUUUUUGAUGAAUAAUUGUACAAGACUUUGUAAUAAAAAACUUUUUUUCCCCCAAAAGUAAUGAGGUACCAAAAACUUUAUGCCCAUCCUGGAUGACUGCCAUAACAGCUUCUUAAUAUUUUGCAGUGGCUUUUGUACGGUUGUUUCCUUCUGAAGCUAGAGUAGCUAUGGAAAUAGUAGGUGCAGAUACCGCCCCUGGCCUUUCAGCAUUAGGUCGGAAAGUACUAAGUGGGAACUUAAAGGAGAUUGAUUUGAAUGAAACGCCCUCUAUGCAAGCCAAGAGACGCCAAUUGAGACUGCUAACUCUGCUUAAAAAAGAUAUUUAUAUGCUUUAUUAACUUUUGCACCUUUCUAUUUACUGAUUAUCUUUAUAAUUAAAUAAUACAUGUAUCCAGGUUUCUCCUUCCAUUUCAUUAGAAGUAAAUUGGAAUCUCUUUAUAGUGCUCUGUUAGGUGUAAUCAGAUGUAUCAAAAGAGAAAGGGUAAUUGUUAGUACAUUGAUAUCUCAACAAAAUGGUAGAACCUUUCUUUAUACCACUAAAGACAUUUGUUGCAGGGAUGCCUGCAUAAUCAGUGUCCUUUAAAACUUUCAAGGAGUUAGCAAUGCCUAACCCUUGAAACACUAAAUCUCACUGGAUCAACUCUUUACCUCUGGACCGAAGGUGUGACACCCAAACCCAAUUAGGGCUUAGAACGCAUAUUGAAUUUGAGAGAAACUAAGUGCUUGUAAAUCCAAGUCUCCAAAAUAUCAAAAGGUUAUCUACUUUCUCUUUUCAUGUAUUUCACAAAAUUUUGAAAAAUUCAUCCUCAAUCAUAAACUAGGCACAGCUAAUUAAUCAGCAUAUCAGUAUACAUCAAUACUUCCUCAUAAGCAAAUAAAUCUUACAAUCCUUCCUACAUGAUUUAAAAAAAAUACUUCUAGAACUCUUCUAGAUACAAACAUAAACAGAAUUCAACUGCUAAAACUUGUUGAAAAUUGAUUAAAAAAAAAAGUGUCAAAAUGGUGGGUGGUUGAGCAACCAUCUUUGAAUUCAAAGAUGGUGGGUGGCUAGCCAUUGAACAAGGAAAAUGGGUAGGUGCCGCCCAUGGAAAGAAGAAAAAAAAUGAAGAAAAGGAAGCCAUAAUUUGGCUAUAAAUAGAGGAGUGCUCCUCCUUAUUUUUGUAUCCCAAAUCCCAGAGAAGCGAUCCAAGUUUUGGUGAGAAAUUGAGAGAGAGAAAUGUUCUUAAGCAUGUAGUUAUAUUGUAGGAGUAUUUGACUCCUCAAUAUAUGUGUUACGGGUUUACUUUGUUAAAGGAUAUUUCUCAGGAUUAUGUAUUUGGGGAUUGGGUGAGAGAAAAUUAUUUCUCAGAGUGUGGUUGUAAUAAUUUUCCACAUAGUGAAUAUUUUUUCUCUGGUUGGCUUUUGACAACGGCAGUGGUUUUUCUCCAGAUUUAGAGUUUUCCACGUAAAUCUUGUGUUGUGUGAUUGGUGUAUUCUCUAUUUAAUUUUUUCUGUUAAUUUGUUGCUUGACAAAUUGCUUAGAGUGAUCUUGGGAGGAAACUCAAUUUCCUAACAAAACUAUGCCAAAACACAAGCUUCAAUCAGUAAUACAUACGACUAAUUAUUAAAAACAUAGAGCCAGAAACCUUACGAAAGCUCAGUCCUUCAGAAGCAUUCUUCGAAUUAAUAAUUGCUACUAUCUGUGAAAAAUAAUUGACACGGGUUCAGCUGUUAACUCAAUCAGUAGAAACAUUCAUAACCAACAAAAAGAAUUCUUUGUGCAAUAUUUUCAGAAAAUUCAUUUAACCUUUCAAAUGAAACAAAGUAAUUUUUCAAACACUGUCAGGAUUUAUAUAAAACAUAAAUGUUUCCGACGGAAGCUUUUUGGAACGUAAAGUUUGCUUCUUUAAACAGAAAGUUAUACAUUAGUUUGAUUUUAAAGGGUGGUUAUUGGGAAGUUAAAAUUGGCUGUUGUGGUAAAAGGGUAAUAGCAGUUAUAAUCUCUUUUAAAACAACUUCAAAUCAAGUUUCAAAUUUUAGGAGUACUUAAUUCAAUAACAUAAAGAAUAAAUAAAGCUUUAAUUGAAACAAAACUAAGUAAAUUCAUUUAAAGCAAAACAGGAUGCGAGCAUUACGUAAGGGUUCUUGACCAUACCAUGUUUACCCGCAGUCGGAUAUCUGGGACUUUGUUAUUUGGAGACAAGACUUGAUUUUGCCAUGUUUUCCGCAGCUAGACAUCUGUGGAUAAGAGAACCCUAAGCCUAUUGAGAAUAAAUUCUGUAAUCUAAGACUCUUCAGUUCUUUCAUUUGUGGCUAAUUAGUUAUAAAAUUUGUGAAUUUCAUGCCCCAUGCCCCUUGCAAAAUGUAUUUUAUAUCCUUAAGAUGCUAGUGGAUGAACUGAAAUAAUAAAAAAUGGAAAACAGACUUGAUGCCGACAGCAUUUCUCAAGAAAAACUUGGGAUGUUUAUAAUUUUCUUAGAGCAUUUGCUGAGCUUUCUGUGAUCGCAGUCGAGACAGGUCAACGCUACUUCCCUCAUUGCUCAGAAGUGGCUUUUAAGUUUAUGGAUAUCAACUCCCCUCAUUGCUCAGAAGUGGUUAAUGAGGUUUUGGAUUGUGAUUGGUCCAAUGCUUCCCUCCUACAAAAGGGUACUCCUGAAGAGCAGAAACUCAAAAGGGCAAGCUUCAUGAAACUUAAAGUAGACACGGGGGAGGCAUUCUGCAAGGACGUGGCUUAUCCCCGUCGUUUAGGGCUGCCAUCAUCCUGGUCGGCAUUUUACAAUUACAUGGCUGAGAGCAAUCGUUCAGGUAUGCCGACAUCCUCGGCAUCGAGCAAUUAAGCAUCACCUUUCCCUAAAAGUUAUUUUUGACACAUGGGAAACUAAAAGAGUUUAGUGAGCUCGAUUGGCAUUUGUAGUUUUUUUUGCCUCAAGUGAUCUGGUAUGUAUCAAUUAGUUUGUGAAAUUAUUGUACUGUAUCAAUUAGUUUGUGAUAUGUACACAUGCAUGGAUCACAAACUCAUUUCAUUGAAUAUUUUUUUUUUUAAUUAUACAAUUUAUAGGCUAUGCUUAAAAAUUAGAAAAAAAGAAUUGUAUUACAGUUGGUAUGAGACAUGCAUGUGUGCAUAUCAGUUGCUGAACAAACUUUGCCUUUUAAUUUUGUAGGCAUUACUUUCUGCAAUUUGAGAGAUAGUGGAUUAGUGGGGAGUGGAUUAAAGUGCAUCUACAUAGAAUUAAUCAAAAUAAAAUUGAUUUUUUAACUAUUUUUACUCAAAGUAGUAGUUAUUCUUUUUAUUAGUGUUAUUCCAAUUAUAUCAAAAUCAGUUGACUGGUGAUCAAAUUAAGUGAUAUAUGGUAUGGAGUUUUUAUAAAUCUAUGUAAAUAGUAAAAUAUUUAAUUUUUCUUGUCGUACAAUUUUAAUUUAUAUGGUUUAAAAAAAGAAAUUGACUUAUUAAUUAAUUAACAAUUAUAGAAAGAAUAAAUAGAAAAUUAUAGUUGUGGGAGAAAACUCUCGCGAAAAGGGCUCUAGAUUGGCUUCGUGCGUUGCCCCUGGCCCUUUCGAGCACGAAUUCGAAUCCAAUGCUUUAUAAUAAAGAUAUAAUAUUAUUAUAAUACUAAUAAUUAACAUUAAAAUAUUAAAAAAUAAGGAAAAAAAAAUCCAAAUUUUUACUGGGGUUUUUAAUUAAAUACCCUUUAAUAAUUUCAAAAUUAUUUAAAUACCCCCUCCCUUUUUGGUUUUCAUGGAUACCCUAACAAAUGUGAGCAAAGUCAGAAAUACCCUUAAUGAAUGCAUCAAACUCACUCAAGGAAUUGUCUUCAUAUUUCUUUCCUCAUUUCUUUCACCCAAAUCUAUUUUUGCUGCCGAUUCUUUCAAAAUCUCUUAGCAUCUCUCAAAAUCUCUCAUAACUUCUUACACAAAUACAAUUAUGUAUUCAUUUCUUUAACACCCACUCUUUCUUUAAAGGUGCAUUGCUUAUUAAACAACCAAAUAAGGUAUGUUAAUGUUGUUGGGUUUUAAAUUUUUAAUUUUUAGGAAAAUUUAGAAAUUUUCCUCACAUUACAAUGUUUUAUUUUCACCAUUUUUUCUUAUACGUAGAAAUAUAUGCAAUGUAGGUUGUUUAAUUAUUUUUUUCAGCAAUAUAACUUAUUUAUGGCGAAAAUGUUUCGAGUCGUGCAUUCUUUUGAUACCGUGUACGUCAUAUAAUUAGUCAUGUAGGUCAUGUAAGUAAUAUAGUCGUGUAAGUCGUGUAGGUCAUGUAAGAAAUAUAGUCGUGUAGGUCGUGUAAGAAAUAUAGUCGUGUAAGUCGUGUAAGUAAUAUAGUUGUGUAGGUCAUGUAAGUCGUGUAGUUAAUUGUAUAUGAAAUUUAAUAUUAUUGUUUUUAUUGUAUCAUCAGAUAUGGUUUUGGUACGUGUGCCUAUUCUCUUCAAUGGUGAAUGGAUUGAGCAAAAUGACGAGUAUAAGUUCAAAGGUUCAAAGGCUAAAGGGAUAAUGAUACCACGAUCGACAACAUAUGCCGAAUUGGUGGAGAAGAUAACUGAAGUUAUUGAUAUAGAUACUUCGGAAUUCGAAAUCACAAUGAAGUUCAAACUUAAGACAUCUGAUCCUAUGCCACUCGUUACAAUUCAAACCAAUGAUAAUGUGGAAUUUUUUUAGAUUCUAAUUUAAUUUCACUUCUUCUUUUUUAAUAAUUUUCGUUGACAUUUUCUGCAUAGCAGCAAAUAUAAAUUCUUAGCACAAAUUAAGUCUUUAAAGAACUAAAUUAAUCUAAUGAGUAAUAGAAAAAUUCGUGUAAUUUUAAAGUUGCAAUUAAACAUAUUACCGCCAUUUAAAAAGUUUUUUUUUUUUUUAUCUUCAAAGUGCUUUCUUCCUCUGGCCAAGCAUACAAGCAUACAUGAGGAAUGUCUGCAUAUAAUUAAUCCAUGAAAUCAAUUAAGAAAAAAAAAUAUCAACCAUAGGAAAUUAAUGUAAUGUUAUACACAUAAGAACACCAUUCGCAGUGAUAAAAUAUUUCCACUCAUAACUAGACAUAUCAUGACUUACCAUGGCUUAUAAUUGGAAAUUAAGAAUCUCUCUAACUAAUGACAUUUCACAAGGUAAAGGUAUAUGCACCAUUCCAAUUUAUUGUGAGCCUAAUUAAACUAAAUGUAAUGUGUAGAUUCUAUUGACAAGAAACAAAAUGUGGAAUUGAAGGUCGUGUAAUUGUGUAAUACAAGAAGAUCGUGUAAUUGUAUAAUACAUGAAGGUCGUAUAAACAUGCAAUACAUGAAGGUCGUGUAAACGUGCAAUACAUGAAGGUCGUAUAAUCGUGCAAUACAUGAAGGUCGUGUAAUCGUGCAAUACAUGAAGGUCGUGUAAUACACAACCUUGAAUCUUACAUAACCUUACACGACCAAAUCUUAUGUUACAUAACAAAAUUAUAAUCAGCACAAUCCAUUAAUUUUUCACAAUUUGCAUGCAGCAAAACAACUAGAAAUUUGUUUUCGAACAUGUUAUGAGAGACCCACAACUAAUUAAUCUAUUUUUUCAAUAUAAAACCCUAACUUUUUGUUUUUUUCCCUUGAAUAUUAACAAGAAAACUAAUUAUACGGAAUUACUUGUCUCAACUAGUGAUAUUCUGACAAUUUUACAGUAAAUGAUCAACUCUCUCCGGCGAUUAUGUAGUGACGAACUAUGCUUCACUUUCUCAGUUGUGGCAGCUUCCCCUUCUCAGGCUUAGUUUGCUCGUGUUGAAGUUCGAUUUACCAUGUAUGGAGAAUGAAUGUUUGUUUCGGUAGAGGUGAUGCUGGUGAGGGAAUUACAGAGGUGAUGUCGGUGAGGGAAUUGCAGUGUUUGUUUGUUUGAGUUUGAUAAUGGAGGGAAUUGCGGUAGAUGAGUGUUUGUUUGCUUCAGUAGAGAAGGGAGAUGUAUUGUCCGUUGAGUUGAAAUGUUUUAAAAUGAGGAUAGCUUAGUAAUUUCCUAUCAGUUUUUAAAGGGUAUCGAUGAAAAUUUUGGCAAAAACAGAUUUUAGGGUAUUGAGAUAAUUUUUGAAGUACGAAGGUGUACCGGGCGCAAUUGGCUCAUUUUUACUGGUAUAUAAUAUAACGCAGGGCCAAAACGAUAGCGAAACAUCAAAUUGUUUUUAUUUCAAUCUUCGCGCAACCUCCGGUGACAUAAUUUUUCUCUGUUUCAGGUACAUACAUACCCAAAACUAAACUUUGCAUGUAUCGUUCUUGUUUUUUUGUUAUUCAUUCACACAUCCUUCUUUUCUUUUCUUUUCUUUUCUUUUUUGCUGUAAGUUUUUAUGAGACGCUCUGUUUCAGUUUAAUAUUAUUGUUUGGGUUCUGUUCUGCUCUGUUCUCUGUUGUAUGUAUAUAUGUAUAUAUUUUUGGCCUCGAAUUGCUUUGAUCACCGGAAUUUUUAUUCAUUUAUCGUGAAUUUUAGAUGACUUGUUUGGCCAUGUAUUCAUUUGAUUGUUACAUUCAGCUGCCAUCUUCAUGGUGGGUUUGUAAGAUAGUCUCUGACUAACAUAUGGCAUUCAUUAUGAAUGAUGGUUUUGUGAGAUACAUCAUACAGACGUUAACUUGUAUUAACAUGUACUUGCUUCAUCUAAAAGAUUAGUGUUUUUCUGGCUUUUUUUUUUUUUUUCCUUUUUGAAAUGCCCUUUUUGCAUUUUAUAGGUGAAAGGAAAAAACAUAAUAUCGCAGCUCUAGAACAAAGGAGCCUAUUCUGGUACCUAUUGUCCAAGGAAGCUUCUGUAUAUUCGGUAGGCACUACCAUGGAAGUGAAAUCUUACCAGAGCCAGGCGGAGUCAUUGCUGAAGGAAUAUAUAUUAGCAGAUCCAUUUGUCCCGUACACUUCAAUUGUUGGUAGCAUUUUUGCUUGCAAGAUGGUAUGUUUUUCAUCGUUACUGCAUGGUGGUAUUUACUAGAAAAUAUUUUGAAUGCAUAGUUUUUAUUUAAUUAGUUAUAAAUUUUUAUACCCACUGCUUUCUAUAAGAACGUGUUCAUUUUCAGGUCUAUAAUCUUGCCCAAUUGAUUAGUGCGGUUCACUUUAAAAGUUAUUCCAGUUUCUCCAACAUACAGCGGGUUGAGUGGAGUAACAGGUGAUUGAAUAUUUUCAUUUAGUUCAAUUGACAUUUCUUUUUCAAUCGGUAAAGUUUAAUCGUUUCUCUUAAAUCGACAACUUAUGCAGGGCCAUAUCAACCGUCCAUGCCAUUUUUAUUACAGCUAUGUCUUUGUAUUUCGUGUUUUGGUCAGAUCUCAGAGUUUGUGCAUAGCACACUUGUUUCUACUGUUUGUUUGUCCCUUCAUAGACAUUUCGACAAACUGUUAUUUUUGUUCUUUGGAAGUGAAUAUUUUCAGCAACUAGAACUCCAAAGCAUCUGGAAUGAUCCAUUUUAUCAUUCUCAAUACCUAUAAAAGAAUGUCAUAGAAAACAGUUUCCAUAGCAAGUUGCAUGUGUUUUGAAUUUGUCUUUGCAAGCCACUAAUUGCUUAGAGCACACUGUUAGUCAGUCGUGAUUCCAUCCACUUUUUUUGAUAGACAAUUGUGCAUCCAUAUGAUCUGGACUAAACUAGUUUUUAAUUAAUAAUUGCCCAGGGUUUUAGUCUCAGUGUUACAGCCCAGUCUUUGUUGUCAAUACUCUUUCCCCCGUUGUGGAUGAGCACCAUUACAGCUUCUUAAUGUUUUGCAGUGGCUUUCGCACGGUUGUUUUUUCCUUCUGAAGCUAGGGUAGCUAUGGAUGUAGCAGAUGCAGAUGCCACCAAUUUUUAUACUGGCCUUUCAGCAUCAAAAUCAAAAGGAUCAAGUGGGAGCUUAAAGGAGGUUGAUUUGAAUGAAACACCCUCUAUGAAAGCCAAGAGACUCCAAUUAAGACUGCAAGCUCUGCUUAAAACAGGUAUUUAUAUACCUUAUUAGUUUUUGUACCUUUACAAUUAGUGAUUUUUGCAUCAAAAGAGAGAGGUUAAUUUUUAGUACAUUGAUAUCUCAACAAAAUGUUAGAACCUUUGGAGCACUACAGACAUUUUCUUAGAGCAUUUACUGAACUUUCUUUGAUUGCAGUGGAGACAGGUCGACGCUACUUCCCUCGUUGCUCAGAAGUGGUUGAUAAAUUUUAGGAUUGUGAUUGGUCCGAUGCUUCCCUCCUAGAAAAGGGUACUCCUGAAAAGCAGAAACUCAAAAGGGCACGCUUCAUGGAACUUAAAGAAGACCUGAAGGAGGCAUUUUACAAUGACAUGGCUGAGAAAAAUCGCUCAGGUUUGUAGUCAUACUCGUCGUCGUCAUCUUCUCCGAAGGAAGGAGUAAAGUGUAAGGGUAGGAAAAGGUGAUGCUUAGCUGCUUGUCUUUGUUAUUCAUUUAUAGGCAACUAAAAGAGUUUUAGUGAGUUGGAUUGUUACUUGUAAGCAGAUACUCUUCGAGCCUAUGUUAUGGCCAUGUUGUAUAAUAGCAGAGGAACUUCAAGCUUGCGUUGUUGUAUUUUCCCCAGUAUUUGGCAUGUAAUGCACUAGAUGACAAAGAAUUUUCUAAUUUUAGAGGGGAAAGUUAUGUCAGUUAAUUAUUUAUUUAUUUAUUUUGUCUGUUUAAUUCAGUUUGCAUUAGGGAUGGCAAAAUAACCUGAACCCGGACGAACCCGGAUAAUCCAGGCCGGGUUGAACCCGUACCGGAAUGUAAAAAAAUUCGGGUCCGGAAUAAAUUUUAAUAACCCGGAUAUAUCCGGGUCCGGGUCCGGGUUUAGGUUAACCCGAACAUUCGGAACCCGGACCCGGAUAUCUAAUUUUAAUAUUAUUUUUUAAUUAAUUUUAUUGAUUAAUUUAGAUGUGUUAUUGCUUGGAAAUGUAUUAAUUUUUUAUUUUUAGAAUUUUAGAAAUUGAUAUUGAUUCAUUGAUCCGGGUUCAAAACCCAGAAUCCGGAAACCCGGAUUUUUCCGGGUUGAACCCGGACCCGGGUGAAAAAAUCCGGGUUAAAAUCCGGGUCCGGGAAAAGAAAAUGGUAUCCGGGUCCGGAUCCGAAAAGGCUAAACCCGGACCCGGAUUUUGCCAUCCCUAGUUUGCAUAGCUUUUUUUUUUUUUUCUUUCCAAAAAAAUCUUCAUUUCUUCAUCUGCAAUUUAAGUCAUUUGUAACUUCUUUUAGGGAGGAGAGAGAGAAAAAAAAGAAAAGAGUAUAUUUUACAGUAGUGAUUUUCCUACGGAAAUUGGUUAAGAUGACAUUAAUGUUCUUUGAGAUGGACGGAUAUGCAGAUUUUUCGUCGAAAUUGAAAUUAGAAAUGGAUGGAUAUGAAUGACAUAUAUGCAGAAUUUUAAUAAAAUUUUUAUACAAAAAUUUGUAGCUCAUUACUCUCUAGAAGGAAAAAAUAAGUUUUUAAUUGUAAAUAUUAAAUAUUAAAUAUUAAAUUUAUAAUAUAAUAAAUGUGUGACUUAAGGUGCACAAUACCCAUAUAAUAAUAAUUAAGAAAAGAAAAAAUCAAAAUUUGCAAAUUACCAAUUUUCUCUUGAAAUUUGAUAUUCUAUAUUAACGUAGGUGUUGCAUGGACUGGGUUAGUACAACUGAAAGAAACAAAAUAUCAUAAAAAUGAGUGUAAGUUUGUAUAUAUAUUUUUUGAAUUGUCAUAUAUAUACAAGUUUGUCACUAACGGUAAAUUUAAUUAUGAAUAUUUUAAUAAUUCAAAAUCUCAUUCAACCAUCGGUGUUUAUAGUGUUUUUCGAAAUACAAAAUUGUAAUUUAUAAACAGUCUCACCCUUAAUAGUACAAUGCUAAAUCUUUUCAAAAAAUUAUUCUAUUAUAGUCGUCUUAGUCAGUUAUAUUUAUUUUCAAAUUGAAGAUAAAAAUCGUACUUCAUAUGUCAAACAUUACUUAAAGACUUUAGGGAUAUGUACGUGAAACUGAAUGAAUCAUCAGUUGCAUAUUACUUAAUGGCAAGUGAAGCUAUUUUAUGUGUAUUGCUUGUCACGGGAUGAGUGUUUUGCGCAGCUAACCCGUGUGGCACUUAGACAACUUUGCCGAAUGUUGCUAAGUAAGCCUUGAGCUUCUCGAACUAGAGAAGAGAGCAAUGGAGCCGAAUAAGAAAACUUGUAUUGCACAAAAGAGAGAUUACAAGAAUGCUUGAGUUGCUUGCUCUAAGCUUGUUGUUGUUGUUUUUUAACAAAUGCCUAAUGACAUCCCAUAUUUAUAGGGGAUGCUUGCCAAGCUCUAGGGAUUCUAGAGAAUUCUACCACUUCCUAGCUAUUUACAUGUGCUGGAAUUGUAAAGAGAAUUCUAGAGUAUUUACAAGCUCAAUGUGCUAGAGUUGCCUAGAACUUUCCGGAAUUUGGGCCAAGCUAGCACUCUUGGCUUUGUCUUGGGCUCUUGGUGGCCAAAUUGGGCUAGCGAAUUGGGUGGUCCACAACAUCCUCCCCCACCUAAGCUCGCGGCGUCCUCGUCGCGCUCUCGUGCUUGAAGCGUUGGAUGUGCUCAGCGAAUUGCCACAAAUCAUCUUCACGUUCCCAUGUGGCCUCGCUCUCGGGGAGGUUUUUCCACUUCACCAAGUACUCGCUAUGCGCUGGUACGCCUCUCCUCGAAACCACAUGAUCCGCAAGGAUGUAGUCCACAUCUUUGUCGAACGCGGUGACAACGGCAGUUGGCGCGCCCCUUGAUUCUCCACGACUUGGAUCUUCCACAUCUCGGUGGUAUGGCUUGAGAAGGCUCACAUGGAAGACCGGAUGGAUCUUGAGUCUUGGCGGAAGUUGAAGUUGAUACGAGACGUUGCCCACACGUCGUACAACUCGGAAGGGUCCCUUGUAGCGCCUCACUAACCCCUUGUGGACUUUCCGCAACGUCUUGAAUUGUUGGGGUAGGAGCUUGAUCAUGACUUGAUCACCUUCUUUGUACUCCACAUGCCGUCUCCUUGUAUCUGCCCAUUUCUUCAUUUUCCUUGCGGCUUUAUCGAGGUAGGCUCGCGUGAUGUCCGCUUCCUCGUGCCAUUCGCGGGCGAGCUUAUGUGCCGCGGGGCUCUUCCCUCCGUAAGUUGAGGCUAUGGCGUUGGGAGUCAUAGGCUGGAAUCCCAUGAUGAUUUCGAACGGACUCUUGCCCGUAGCCUCACUUCGCUGCAAGUUAUAAGAAAAUUGGACGAUGUCAAGUAACUUCGCCCAAUCCCGCUGAUGAGCGUUCACAUAAUGCCUCAAGUACAUCUCGAGGAGACCAUUGAUGCGCUCGGUCUGCCCAUCCGUUUGGGGAUGGAAGCUUGUCGAGAACUUGAGAUCGGUCCCCAACAUCUUGAAGAGCUCCGUCCAAAAACGCCCAGUGAACCGAGGGUCUCGGUCGCUCACAAUGCUCCUUGGAACUCCCCAAAGCUUCACAAUGUGCUUGACGAAUAGGCGGGCUGCCUCGUCCACUUUGCAAUCGACUGGUGCGGCAAUGAAUGUGGCGUACUUGCUGUAUCGGUCGACAACGACCAUGAUGCUUUCGCUACGUUGUGUUUGAAAGUAGCUCGUCGCUACGUUGUCCGUCAUAAUCGUGAAGUGAGAGCCGAGCAAGUAGUGUCGCCACACCCGCAAGCAAUGUAUUAUUGCAGUCAUCUCCUUCUCUUGCACCAUGUAGCGGCGUUCCGUAUCGUUUAGCCUUCGACUCUCGAACGCUAUGGGGUGGCCUUCUUGCAUGAUCACUCCACCUAUGGCGAAAUCCGAGGCAUCCGUUUGAACUUCGAAGGGUUUAGUGUGGUCCGGAAGAGCGAGGACUGGUUCCUCCGAAAUUGCCUUCUUCAAUUCCUCAAAUGCGCAUUGGCACUCUUCGGACCAAUGCUACGUUAUGUUUUUCUUAAGCAAAUCCGUCAAGGGGGCCCCUUUGGCUGAAUAGCUCUUGAUGAAACGGCGGUAGUAAUUCACCAGCCCAAGGAAUGAGCGAAGCUCAGGCACUUUCGAGGGAGGCUCCCAUUCGAGGAUGGCCUUCACUUUAGCAUUCUCCAUCAUGAGCUUCCCGCCCGCAAUCUUGUGGCCAAGGAACUCCACUUCUUGUUGGGAAAACGAGCACUUCUCCAACUUGAGGAAGAGCUCGUUGUCUCGGAGUACUUGGAGGACUUGUCGCAAGUGUUGGGCAUGCUCCUCGAGUGUGGUGCUAUACACCACGAUGUCAUCCAAGUACACGACCACAAAGUGGUCGAGGAAUGGUUGGAGUACCUUGUUCAUGAGCGUGCAAAAUGUGGCGGGUGCAUUAGUAAGGCCAAAAGGCAUCACAAGGAAUUCGAAAGACCCCGUACCUUGUUGUGCACGCCGUCUUCGGUUCGUCUCCCUUGGCGAUGCACACUUGAUAGUACCCAGAGCGCAAGUCAAGUUUAGUGAAGUACCGUGCUUUGCCAAGCUGGUCGAACAAGUCCGCGAUCAAGGGAAUCAGAUACUUGUUUUUUAUGGUGAUCUUGUUGAGCGCCCUAUAGUCGAUGCACAUCCGCAGCGAUCCAUCCUUUUUUCUUUUGGAAGAGGAUCGGUGCGCCAAAUGGGGCCUUUGAGGGGCGAAUGUAGCCUGCAUCCAACAAGUCUUUGAGUUGUCUCCGCAAUUCCUCUAGUUCGGGUGGCGCCAUGCGGUAGGGCGCCAAGGCUGGUGGUUUCACGCCUUAUUCCAACUCAAUUGCAUGAUCGACCUCUCGUCGAGGUGGGAGCUUCUUCGGAAGUUCCGGAGGCAUUACGUCCUUGUACUCAUUGAGGACGGCUUGAAUUCGCGGAGGGACUUGCCUUGGCGAGAUUCCGCUAUUUCCUUCCUCGUUUAGUUCCCGAAUGGAGACCAAGAAGCUUGGGUCCUUCUUGAAAGUCCUUUUGAAUUGCAUAGCGGAGAGUGUCUUCUCCUCGGACUUGCCUCCUUCCGUGGGAACCAUGCAUGCCUUACUCCCGUCGAGGAUGCUUAGGGAGUUCGUAGCGGGCAGCCGGAAGGCAUGGACUUGGUCGAAGAAUUCCAUGCCGAGGACCAUCUUGAAGUCAUCCAUGGGGACGAUGGAGAAGUCAAGCUUUUCGCUCCACGUACUGAGUGUAAUGUGCACACCUUGUGCGAUUCCCGCAAUUGGCUUAGUGGGUGAGUUCACAGCCUUCAUCGUGCCUCCUUCCUUGGUGGCCUUGAGGCCUAAGCGCUUGGCCUCGUCUACGGACACGAAAUUGUGUGUUGCUCCCGUGUCUAGCAGCGUGCGAACGGACUGGCCGUUUAUUUUCGCGCUUACAUACAUGAGCCCUUUCUUGACAAGUGUGGGCUAUUGGCGAUUGAGUGUGCCGAGGCGUUGGAGAGAACCCAUGCUGAGUUGGGGUUCUUCCGUGGACAUUGUGGGGUUGCUCUUAAGCUGGGCUGCGAGAGCAUUAAGCGACCUCUUCUCCGGACAAGUCGCGUACCCAAUGAGGACUGUUGCAUAUGAAGCAUGGGCUUCGCGGCUUUGGCGCCUCGUUCUUGCCCUCCGAUUUUCCUUGCCCGCUCUUGUUGCUAGGCGGCUUUUUCUACCCCCAAUCUUUGCGGUUGUUGCCCUUGUCCUUGCGACUCUCUUCCCCACCUUUGCCUUGGUUGGCCUUUUUGUCCUUGGAUUGGUGAGCGAUUCCGCAACGGCGAUGGCGUCGUCAAGUGUUUGAACACCCCGCCUAUCGAGCUCGGUCUUGGCCUAAUCCUUGAGGCCAUCUUGGAAGUAGAAGAGCGAAUCCUUGUCGGACAUGUCGCUUAUCUCCAACAUAAGGGUAGUGAACUCGUUGAUGUAGUCCUGAAUGCUACUCGUUUUCUUGAGGCGACGUAAGCGCGCUCGCGCUUCCUUCUCCACAUUGCUUGGGGCGAACUGCUUUCGGAGUUCUUGCUUGAAAUCGGCCCAAGUGUCGAUGGUGCAAAUGCCCUUGCCCAUCUCGCCAUGCUUGCGACGCCACCCUAGUUGUGCAGCGCCUCGAAGAUAAGUGGGUGCUGUGCCCACUUUCGAUGCAUCAUCUCGGACACCCAUGGCAUCGAAGUAUUGAUCAAGCCCAAAUAGGAAGUUGUCCACGAUUGUGGCAUUGCGUGUGCCAUCGUAUGUGUCGGGCUUUGGCACGUCAAUGCGGCGCGCAUCACUCGUGCUUGUGGAAGCUGGACUAGCGGAGAGUGUGCACUUGUGCCAUGCCCAAUCCGAGCGGACUUCAUCCACUUCCGCACGGACAGUGCGUAGUUCAUCCUGAACAAAGCUACGAAGUUUAAGCAACUCAUCAUGAAAAGAAUGAAACUCACCUCGAAGAGUGUUCGCUUGCUCUUGGAUGAGGGCUUUCGUUGCCACCGUGAACUCGGCGUAUUCACCCUCGAGACCGUCCACUCGUUCCUCUAAUCCCUCGAGGCUGUCUUGAGCGGCGGACAAUGCGAUUUCGAGAGUAGUCACUCGAGGCUCCAACACAUCCACGGAUGGGGCCUUGGACUUGCCGCGAGUUUUGCCUUGGGCGCGUUCUCCCUCUCGGCCGCGGCUUGGUUCCGGUGGAACAUCCACACCAACAACACCCUCUUGUGCUACGUUCAAAGGGUUGGCCAUUGCUCGUGAGCUAACUUGCGUGCGUGCAAACCUUAGCUCUGAUACCACUUGUCACGGGAUGAGUGUUUUACGCAGCUAACCCGUGCGGCACUUAGACAACUUUGCCGAAUGUUGCUCAGUAAGCCUUGAGCUUCUCGAACUAGAGAAGAGAGCAAUGGAGCCGAAUAAGAAAACUUGUAUUGCACAAAAGAGAGAUUACAAGAAUGCUUGAGUUGCUUGCUCUAAGCUUGUUGUUGUUGUUUUUUUACAAAUGCCUAAUGCCAUCCCAUAUUUAUAGGGGAGGCUUGCCAAGCUCUAGGGAUUCUAGAGAAUUCUACCACUUCCUAGCUAUUUACAUGUGCUGGAAUUGUAAAGAGAAUUCUAGAGUAUUUACAAGCUCAAUGUGCUAGAGUUGCCUAGAACUUUCCGGAAUUGGGCCAAGCUAGCACUCUUGGCUUUGUCUUGGGCUCUUGGUGGGCAAAUUAGGCUAGCGAAUUGGGCGGUCCGCAACAUGCUUCCUAUCAAAAUGUUUAUGUUUGAAUGCUUCUGUGAGUUCUCUGGUAAGGGCUAUACAACUAGCUCUAACAGAUUCCUUCAUGUGCAUUAAUUAGCUUAAUAGCUUAUUGACCUAUAUCCAAUGUCUAUUCUCCUUUUCUGUAGCCGUCUAGCUUUAUGAGUGCGUGAAGUGAACUUUUGUUUUUUGUUUCAGGACUUGGGAUUAGAGUGUAUAACAUUCAAUAUCUUUAUAUCAAACAACUGAUAUAUGUUAAUGUAGUGCGAUCUGGUCUUUAUUAGCUUCUUGAUUUGCGAGGAUGUUUGACAACCAUCUUUGACUGUGUUUGCCAGCGUAUAAGCUACUACAUAUUGUGUCUGAGGAAUCACAACAAAUUAUUAUCAUAAUAUGGUGAUUUUGAAUCCAAAACUUGGUAGUGUCAAGAAAAUAGACCCAUGUUUAUUUAGCUUCACGUUUUGUAUGCGGCUGCAAUAGACUAUUAUAAGUUACUUUUAGUUUUAUCAAGUUCCCCCCCGCCCCCUUAAAUUUCAGUUAUUUCAGCAGUUUCUUUUAACUGAGUUAAUAGUGUUGUUAGGUUAAACUAAGUUUGGCUUCAUAAGCUUCAUAGUAGAGUGUAGAAUUAGGUACAAUUUUGGGUUAGACAAGUCAAAGGUCUUAUCAAGUAAUUGUCCUGCUUACUGAUUUGGUAAUUGCAACAUUGCUAAAUAGUUCAAUUUGUCCUUUUUAUUUUGUUGAAUUUAUUGUAUGUCAUAUUACUUGAUUUAAUUAUUUUCUCAGAUCUUGUAGGUGAAAAUUUGAGCUUCAAAGACCAAAGCUAAUCAUCCAGCAAUUCAGUGAAGAAACCAAGACACACGCGGCGCAUAAAAAUUGUUGUUGAUCUGCUUUAUAUAUUUUGAGCUUUGUGAUUUGUGAAUACAUGGUUUGAUUCCAGUGUUUAAAACUUUGAAAUUCAAUUAAAAGUUGAGCUGUGAAAGAGUGUGUUGUAUAACUUGAGAAGCCAAACAGGAAAUGUGUUUUUUUGUUUUUAAUCUAUCUAUCUAUUUAUUUUUUGUUUGGAAAUGUAACAAUUUAUAGCUGGCAAAGUAAUAGAGUUGUAUACUUACUUGUAUUUAAUUUAUUAUUAUUAUUAUUAUUAUUAUUAUUAUUAUUUUAAUGACUCGGUAAUGUCAUUGUCCGUGGCGUUGUCAUUUCGAAAGUACUUAACCCUUCCACGCUAAGGCACAUCACAGCAGCCGAAAUUUUGAGCUUUCAGUUCUUGAUUUAGCGUGAGGGGUAUCUUUGUCUUUUCAGUAGUCAACAAACGGUCAACAAAACAGUCUACAAGCAAUCAGGGGGGAAAUCGGAUCUUUGAGUUUUCAGUAGUCAACAAAACAGUCAACAUACAGAAUCAGUUUGAAUAUGGUUCUUGAUGGUAUCAUGGAAAAUGCGAACGAAAAGUCAGCAUCUUUGAGUUUUGUCUCAUCAUAUCCGACUUGUUGGUCCACUAAUCAAUCAACAGGCACUUGUGAUCUUGAUAGUUUGAACUUAAGGAGGCAAAGCACCAAUCCUGAAGAGCCGUUCCUUGACGCUGAGAUUGUUGUUGAGGGCAAAUCAGUGGCAGUUAAUCGCAGCAUAUUGUCUGAGCGCAGUCAAUUUUUUCAUCGGCUUUUUAAUUUGAGAAAUGAUGCUUCUGUCGGUGAGGGGAAACCCAAGUAUCUUUUGACUGAUUUGGUGCCUCAUGGGAAGGUUGGAUAUGAAGCUUUCAAUGAUACCUUGUAUUAUCUUUACUUUGGACGGGUUAAGACAUCUCCUCCAGAAGGGUCCACGUGUGUUGAUGAUGCUUGUGCUCAUGAUGCUUGCCCUCCUGCUAUUAAUUAUGCUAUUGAGUUGAUGUAUGCUUCCGCUGCUUUUCAGAUGAAAAACCGCGUUGUUUAUUUUGGGGUAAUUGUGCUUCCCUGCUAUUUGUAUUGCUUAAAUUUAUGCACAUAUAUGGGAUUGAAAUCAAUUUCAGUUGUGAAGCAACUUCGGUGGUUCCCAAUAUUAGGAAUUGUAGUAGAUCCAAAAUUAGCUUAUUAAAAAGUGUAGAUACCGUAGAGCCCAAAACUUCGUCUUAUCUUGCAAGAGUCUGUCGUUAUAUUUUGAAAGAGACAAAAGUGAUGAUGAUGGGCGGCGAACUCUAGGAAUCAAUGCUUGCUGACACUCACUCCCAUGAAUGAUAAAAACUAACCAAAAAGGUAUAGAUUACAUGAGUCUGAAUUUGAUAAGUGCACCUAUCCUAUCACAAAAAGCUUUCGCGUUGAGUUUCUAACCAAUGAAAAUUGUCACUUCUGUCUGUAGCCUUCAUAGAUUUGUUCAAGCCUUCAAGGAUGUCUAGCUGUUACUUACCGUCCAACAAUGGUGCUACAUUUCUAGUGAAUGAUAUGUUAUUCUACAUCUGUAUAUUGCAACUUUGACAAACUUCGCCUUUCCUUUGUUGCCCGAUUAUGAAAUGGUCUAUUGGAGACUAGCAUUGGAAGGUUUCUUCUGGAAAAAAUUUUACUUGACCACCAAUUUUCAUUUGGGUGGGUGUCAGUUCAUGCUCUGGCUUGACUGUUCUGUUAUUUAGGUUGUUUUAUCUGUAUUUUCUCACUCACUUGAUACUGAGUUUUCUCAUGCUUUCAAGCUCAACAGUGAAUGCGAAUACUAGAGAUUCUCUUUUUUCCCGUCCAGGCUACAACCUAGCAAAUUGUUAAUGCUGUAGAAUAACAUCUUUUGUAGGCGAGCUUAUGUCUCUGAACAUUGGUCCAUCGGCAUUUAGGUUCAAUAAGCAUGCCACUGAUUUUCCCCCUCAUUAUUAUUUUCCUGCACAGGUUAUCCCCUUUAAGUAUUUGAAUUUUGAAUAUAUUAUUCUGAAUCAAUACUCUAUCUGUCCGUGUAGCAUUUUAUAUAUGCUUUAUGAUGUUUACCAAUAAUUACCCACUAUGGGGUAUUUGAAUUCUGAAUAUAUUAUUCUGAAUCAAAACUCUAUCUGUCCGUGUAGGAUUUGUUUUGGGACAUGACUGAGGAUGCUCCUGUGGAAGAUGUAAUCCCAAUUCUCGUGGCUGCCUUCCAUUGCCAACUGAACAAGCUUCGUUUUUUCUGCAUCCAGAGAAUUGCAAGGUCAAAUCUUGACAAUGUUUGUCUCGAGAAAGAGCUUCCCGAUGAAGUUUCAAGAGAAAUCAAAUCACUCCGUGUCAAAUCUAACCAGGAGUCUGAAGCUAUUAUAGCAGAAGUGGAUCCCAUGCAUGCAAAAAUAGUCAGUAGAAUCCACAAGGCGCUGGACUCUGAUGACGUUGAACUGUUGAAGCUUCUUCUGGAUGUAUCUAAUGUCACUCUGGAUGAUGCUUACGCUCUGCACUAUGCUGCUGCCUACUGCAACCCUAAGGUUUUUAAGGAAGUGCUCAAUAUGGGCUUGGCUGACCUCAAUCUUAGGGAUGCAAGAGGACGUACGGUGCUUCAUGUGGCUGCAAGGCGUAAUGAGCCAGAAGUGAUGGUGACUCUGCUGAGCAAGGGAGCAUGCGCAUCAGAAACUACAUCAGAUGGGCAAACCGCUGUAGCAAUCUGUCGGAGAAUGACAAGGCGAAAGGAUUAUCUUGAAGCUACAAAGCAGGGGCAGGGAACUAACAAAGACCGGUUAUGCAUUGAUGUCCUUGAGAGAGAGAUGAGAAGGAACUCCAUGUCUGAGAACUUGGCAAUGUCAUCAGAGGUGAUGGAUGAUGAUUUCCAAAGGAAGCUGGACUAUCUGGAAAAUAGAGGUGAUAAUUUCUUUACUGGUAUUAGUUCAUCACCUUCUCAGAGUUUGUGCAUAGCACACUUCUUUCUACUGUUUGUUUGUCCAUUCAUCUGGAAAAUAGAGGUGAUAUUCCUUUGCUGGUAUUAGUAAAUCAUCUUCUCAGAGUUUGUGAGUCCCUUCAUCUUAGGAUCUCAAACACACAUGGGCUCAUUGCUUGGAGCACACUGUUGGCCAGUCGUGUGAUUUGAUCCCUUUUUUGGAAUAGACAACUCUGAAUCCAUCUGAUCUAGGCUUGGCGGUUUGCACUGAACUGGUUUUUGAUGAAUAAUUGCACAAGACUUUGUCAUCAAAACUUUUAUUUUUUGGUUUUUUUGCCCCAAAAGUAAUGAGGUACAAAAAAAAUCUAUGCCUAUCCUGGAUGACUGCCAUAACAGCUUCUUAAUAUUUUGCAGUGGCUUUUGUACGGUUGUUUCCUUCUGAAGCUAGAGUAGCUAUGGAAAUAGCAGGUGCAGAUACCGCCACUGGCCUUUCAGCAUUAGGUCAGAAAGGACUAAGUGGGAACUUAAAGGAGAUUGAUUUGAAUGAAACGCCCUCUAUGCAAGCCAAGAGACGCCAAUUGAGACUGCUAACUCUGCUUAAAACAGGUAUUUAUAUACUUUAUUAACUUUUGCACCUUUCUAUUUACUGAUUAUCUUUAUAAUUAACUAAUACAUGUAUCCAGGUUUCUCCUUCCAUUUCUAAAAGGUUUCUCCUUCCAUUUCAUUAGAAGUAAAUUGGAAUUUCUUUAUAGUGCUCUGUUAGGUGUAAUCAGAUGUAUCAAAAGAGAAAGGGUAAUUGUUAGUACAUUGAUAUCUCAACAAAAUGGUAGAACCUUUCUUUAUACCAGUAAGACAUUUGUUGCAGGUAUGCCUACAUAAUCAGUGUCCUUCAAAACUUUCAAGGAGUUAGCAAUGCCUAACCCCUGAAACACUAAAUCUCACGGGAUCAACUCUUUACCUCUAGACCGAAGGUGUGACACCCAGACCCAAUUAGGGCUUAGAACACAUAUCGAAUCUGAGUGAAACUAAAUGCCUGUAAAUCCAAAUCUCCAAAAUAUCAUAAAGUCAUCUACUUUCUCUUUUCAUGUAUUUCACAAAAUUUUGAAAAAUUCAUUCUCAAUCAUAAACUAUGCACAGCUAAUUAUUCAGCAUAUCAGUAUAGAGCAAUACUUCCUCAUAAGCAAAUAAAUCUUACAAUCCUUCUUAAAUGAUUUGAAAAAAAUACUAAUAGAAGUCUUCUAGAUACAAACAUAAACAGAAUUCAACUGUUUAAAACUAUGCCAAAACACAAGCUUCAAUCAGUAAUGCAUACGACUAAUUAUUAAAAACAUCUAGCCAGAAACCUUACGAAAGCUCAAUCCUUUCGAAGCAUUCUUCAAAUUAAUAAUUGCUACCAUCUGUGAAAAAUAAUUGACAAGGAGUCACCUGUGAACUCAAUCAGUAGAAACAUUCGUAACGAACAAAAAGAAUUCUUUGUGCAAUAUUUUCAGAAAAUUCAUUUAACCUUUCAAAUGAAACAGAGUAAUUUUUCUAACGCAGUCAGGAUUUAUAUAAAACACAAACGUUUCAGACAAAAGCUGUGUGGAAUGUAAAUUUUGUUUCUUUAAACAGAAAGUUAUAUAUUAGUUUGAUUUUAAAGGGAGGUUAUUGGGAAGUUAAAAUUGGCAGUUGCGGGAAAAGGGUAAUAGCAGUUAUAAAAUCUCUUUUAAAGCAAAUUCAAAUCAAGUUUCAAAUUUUAGGAGUACUUAAUUCAAUAAAAUAAGGAAUAAAUAAAGCUUUCAUUGAAAUAAAACUAAGUAAAUUCAUUUAAAGCAAAAAAGGAUGGGAGCAUUACUAUGGGUUCUUAUGUUUACCCGCAGUCAGACAUCUGGGACCUUGUUAUUUGGAGACAAGACUUGAUUGUGCCAUGUUUUCCGCAGCUAGACAUCUGUGGAUAAGAGAACCCUAAGCGUAUUGAGAAUAAAUUCCAUAAUCCAAGUCUCUUCAGUUCUUUCAUUUGUGGCUAAUUAGUUAUAAAAUUUGUGAAUUUCAUGCCCCAUGCCCCUUGCAAAAAUGUAUUUUAUAUCCUUAAGAUGCCAGUUGUUGAACUGAAAUAAUAAAAAAUGGAAAACAGACUUAAUGCCGAUAGCAUUUCUUAAGAAAAACUUGGGAUGUUUAUAAGUUUCUUAGAGCAUUUGCUGAACUUUCUGUGAUGGCAGUCGAGACGGGUGACCGCUACUUCCCUCAUUGCUCAGAAGUGGUUGAUCGCUUUUUGGAUUUGAACAAUCCUUCCACCCCAGAAAUGGACGACGAGAAACUUAAAGUAGACGUGCAGGAGGCAUUCUGCAAGGACGUGGCUUAUCACCGUCGUUUAGGGCUGCCAUCAUCCUGGCCGGCAUUUUACCAGUACAUGGCUAGGAGCAAUCAGUCGGCAUUUUACAAGUACGUGGCUGAGAGCAAUGGUUCACGAAUGUCGACAUCCUGGGCAGCGAGCAAUUAAGCAUCACCUUUCCCUAAAAGUUAUAUUUGACACCUGGAAAACUAAAGUAGUUGAGUGAGCUCGAUUGGUAUUUGUAGUUUCUUUUUUUUUUACUCAAGUGAUCUGGCAUAAUUAAAAGUUAUUUGUUUGUCUUCAAAGUUAUUGUAUUGUCUCAAGUCCGG
Molecule: long non-coding RNA, 74472 nt
Filed under: Citrus maxima (pomelo)
Lineage: Eukaryota; Viridiplantae; Streptophyta; Magnoliopsida; Sapindales; Rutaceae
Description: long non-coding RNA (CMAX_LNC003112)
Source: RNAcentral